UUCCAUGUGAUAAACAGGAAAGGAACCAUCCAUAUAUAAAAAUCCUAUAGGGGAUUCAAAAAAAGGGUGCUGUCAUCAUAUCUGGUGCGAAUUAGGAGCUUUUGCAAUGGCAUAUCCCUUGGAAGAUGCUGAAUCUAGCAACCUCCACUUCUCUCUUUUUCGGUUUCCCUUUUAACCAAUAACUCACAUCUUUUUAAUAUGUAUUAUUAUGAUGGUGUUUAUGUUUUAAUUAUUUUAUUUUCGGAUUCCUAUAUAAGCCCAUAUGAAGGUUCAGUAUAAAACCCCCUCUUUAAUUAUGCACACCAUCACCAGGCCACCCCUUGCACCAACCAAGCAAGGGGUGACCUAGCUAGGGUCUUGAUUCCAUGCUGAUGCUGCUUUCUUUUUCUUCCACGCUUUCUUUCGUAUCAUUUGCUUGAAGGGAAGUACUUUCUCUUAUAGGGCAGCUUCGAUCCUUUGGCAUUUCGGUUUCCACGGCAGCUUCUGGUUUUUACUUCAUUAUAUGAUGUGUAAAGCUCGAAUAAACCUUCACCUAGGUCGAAUCAGAUUAUGCAAUCUUUUGCUGUUUUCUUUGGUACUUUUCUAUCGUAGUUAAAUAUUUGUAUAUUAUCAGUGGCCAAUGUUUCAGUGGGAUGCAGACUGCGGCUUAGUUUGUAUUAUCACUCGGCAUUGAUCUCUGUUUUGUACUUUAAAAACUAGAUUUGGGUCUGUGCUUAGUUGUGGCUUUUUCUUUAACAUAUUUGAAAUUGAUGCACAUAAAUGUGAAUGAAGUAUGGAACUGAAAUAAAUUUAUGCAAAGGUAAUUGCAAAACAAAGUAGUUCAUAUUCUAUCCGACUAUACUAUUAGAUUUUUUUUUUUUGGUGUUUGAUUAAAUCAUUAUUUAAAAUUUUAGAAUAAAACUAUUAAAAAUAAAUCAUGUCUAAGGAUUGAACUGAGAUUAGUAAAAUUAGGUAAAUAUAUGCUGUUUUAUCACUCAUCUUAUAAUUCAAUUGAUGAAUAAAUUCUUUUAUAAAUAUAUACAAUUUUUGUAUCUGUUGGUGUGUUGGUAAAAGUACUAGGAAAGCCCCUGUACUUAUGGAUAGAUUGCAUUUCGGCCCCUUUACUAAAAAAUGAACAAAUUAAUCAUUGUACAUUUCGGAACAUGCAAAUUAGUCCCUCUGUUAAAUUUUAUCUAUUAAAUGAUGACAUGGAACAUUAAUUUAAAUGGUUAAUUACUAAUUUGGUCCUUAAAGAAUAGCAAAAAUAUCAUUUUUAUUUUUUUAAAAAAAUUCUUAACAAUAAUUCUAAUUUUUUAAAAAAUUAAAAAUAAGUAUAAAUUAUUAAAAAUAUAAAAAAAUUAUGUUAAAACAAAAUCAAACCCAAAUUUAUUAAAGCCAAAAAUUACAUUCGAAGAAACUUUUUUUGGUGAAUCAUUGUAGUUUUUUUUUUUUUGAAUAAUUGAGCUCUCUUUCAAUAAUGGGGAAACAUGUAACACCCUAGCACCUGAACCAGUCGCCGGAUCUAAAUGUAUGUUGUCACAUUACGUUGUCAAAGUAACUCAGGCUAACUUACUACUUAACCACAUCAUGCAAUGAACAAUUAUCAUAUCAAUCCUUUUAUUCAUCCAACAUAUUUAUACACAUCCAUACUUAGUGUAUAAAAUCUUAAUUUAUCAAGUUACGGGGUUAUGUUAAGUCAAUUUGAGAGUUAGGAUUCAAAUUCAAACUCAAUUAUCAAAUUUCAAUGUUGUGUCUCGAGACAGGGAACUUCAUGUCUUGACACAGGCCCUAUGUUAUUUUUACUUUUUGACAAUUUUAGCUUCGAUACUAACAAGUCUUGAGACACUAGGAGUUGUGUCUCGAGGCAAGGUCUACAGAAAGUCCCAUGGAGGUCAAUUGAUUAAACAGGGCUCAUCUGACCCCCUUAAAUCGGCCUGACUCGUGGAACAUAUAGAGAAGCCCAUCUACUUGAAGCAUUGGUGGCCCAUUGAAACACUCUAGUAAAACUAGAGUUACCAGGGUAAUUAUUGUAAAUCCAAAGGGAUAAAGAUGUAUAGAGUUUAAAUCCCUUAGGACUCUCGCUUUGUAGAUAGGCACAAAUCUCACCUUUGAUGUAAUUUGAUCUGUAUUGCUGGAUCACUCAAUUGAAAACUUUCAAAAUAAUAGAAUACUUUUGAGAGCAUUUACUCAAACACUUGGUGUGCAUUAUUUUUUUGUGGCUUUUUUGUUCAUUAGUGGCUUUUUUCCAUUUCAAGUUUACUUCCGCUUUGCUUUGGUGCUUUAGAUAAUUUAUGCGAGAAUUCUCAUUUUUCACAUGUAAGGCUGACUUAGGUGGAUUUGAACCUAAGAAAUCACCUAAGCCGGUUUGCCAGACUAAAGUUCUACCCCUGUGGUAGUUGGUAUUCGAGCUAAUGUUUGAAGGUACCAAUUAAGAUGACAAAAGGAGUAGACAAGCAAAAUGUCCCAAUGGAGACCUGUGGGAGGUCCAGGAAAAAUAGUAGAUUGAGGGAUAUACUAUCGUCUUUGGAAAAUCAAGUGAUCAAUCUGGAGGAGUCCAUGCGGGAUAUGAGGGAGACCUUUGAGGUAGUUGAAGGAUGCACCGAUGAGUUGGACUUGAUGAAAUAACAACUCAGGGACUAUGUGGUGAAGGCUCUUAGUGUUAAUCAGGAUGUGAUAAAAAAAGGCCCUCAAUGCCGCCAAGGGUGAUCAGACUGAGAAGAAUGAUUCUCUCAAAGCUAGCCAUAGUAAUGGCUUUGAAUGACCAAGUUGUUGGAUCUGGUGCCCUUAGUGUAGCAUAUUUGUUUUCAAACUUGUAAUUUUUUCGAAUAGAUUGGUUAAUAAAACAAAUUCAUUGAUUACAUUAAAUAUACUUUGUACAAUUGUCCUUAUGUGAUUUUUGCACAAAAAGCAAAAUAGAAGUAAAUGUUGCUCAAUGGUUGUCUAAUAUUUAAACUAAUACUAAACGGUAUUAUGUGGUCGGAUCAUAAUACGAAAAUACAACUUAUAUUAGUAAAAAAGAACCUAAACAUGUCCUUAGUCUAAUCGAAAAAUAGCAAAUCGAUUAAAAGACUAAUAUGUUGUCUUUAAGUCCAAUUGGCGAAUUUUUUUGUCUUGGGAAUUGAAGCAUAAGACUCCCAGAAGAUAGAAACAUAGAUGUGACUAACUAGACUGAUAGGACAUCGGACUGGGCCCAAGAAAAAUAAAUCUUGAAACUGUUUAUGGAUUUAUUCACUUAUGGCGUUCACAGUGUGGCAUACCUAAAUCCUGAAUGGAUGACGAACUAUGUAUGUGUGACUCGUAUACUUUGAUGUAAGUAAAAACCUAAGUUCAAAUAGUUUGAUGAAGGGAACUUAUUUAUACUUUUCUCGAAAAUUAUAAACCAAUAAGAAGGUAAGUUCUGAUACGUAUGAUGCUUAUUAAAUUUCUCUAAGCAAGAUGGGUCAUAUUUUUAUGUUAGAAUAUGUUUUGAAAGGGGUUCUUCUUUCUUCUUCUUCCUCUUCCUCUUCCUCUUCCUCUUCCUUUUCCUCUUCCUCUUCCUUAAGUGGAAAUUACUGAUACUUUCUUUAAGUCUGAAUGUAUGUAUUUACCAAUAAUCUAGAAGCCAAUGUAAUGUUAUGAUUAGUGGCUAUUCCAUUCAAGGGUAAGUAUUACUAUUCUACAUGUUAAGUUCUGAAAGAGUAAAUCUGUAAAAAGUGUAUAAACAGUAAGACAUAAUUAUAAAGCUUUACACGGGAGUUGUCAAUGCUCGAUGGUAAAUUGUAUACAAAUGAUUCUUAAUGAUGUUCCUAUGUUUUUUAAACAGAGGUUGAUGUAGUUUCAUAAUGGAUGGUUGAGUUGGUAGUUCACGCUGCAGGUCGUGGAUGUCAGGUGAGUUCUAUAUUGACUACUACAUGUAUAUUGUUCAUAUUGAGUGUCAUCUAUAAAAAUUGAUUGGACUCUAGAUCUGAAGUCAUGAAAAGUAUAGUAUGUGAUGAUUGGUGUAUGAGUAUUGAAAUAUUAAAGUAUGACUGAGUAUGUAUAUGUCUGAAAUGUAUACUAUGAGACGUGUGAUCUGAUUGGGUGUAUGUUAGUGAAGUAAAAUGUUAAAGUUAGAUUGCGUCAAUGCAUGAAGGGUCUGUCAAGAGAGUCUAUGUUUGUUCACUGCAAUAGUGUUUGAUAGAGUCCAUCGGGACUGAAAACACGAACUUUGAUAUGAACUUUGAAGGAAAAGCCCAUGGCCAUGACAUCGUCUGGAUAAGAACUAAGGAAUGGUGAUUACCCAAUAGGGUUCUCUGCAUGUUCCGGGACGAUGAUGAGCAAACCUUACGUAAUGUGAGUUUAGGAAAAUCUAUAUCGUCAACACGACAACAAGGAAUAGCCUUUAUGGUGAACUCUAAAAGAACAGCCUUUGUGGCGAACUAUAAAAGAAUAGCCUUUGUGGCAAACUCUGAAAGAAUAGCCUUUGUGGCAAAUUCUAAAAGGAUCGCUUAGUGGCGUAUUCUAUCUGAUUGUUUGUAUAGUGUUUUUGCUAAGUCUAUGUGGCAUGAAUUGUUAGGAAUAUCUGGUAAGCUAUGAAUCUAAAUGUAUAUCUCUCUGGUAAGAGAUGAGUAAAUUAUAGUAGUUUUGUAAUAAGUAUGACCAAGAUACAGUAUUGAUAUGCUCUAGAAUAAGGAUUGAAUAAAUUCUUAAGGGUUUUCCAUGAAAGAAAUAUGUAUCUGUAUGUCAAGAAGGGUAUUUGUUAUGAUGAUUUGUAAGUAUGAAAAGAAGGGGUAUCGCAUCUUCUUACAAAUUUAUUCCGAAUUUGAGACAAUGUUGUUUUGAAUUAUGAGGUUUUGUUAUAGCAUGAUAAGGAGUUCAUUUGGAUGUUAUAAGCUUUGAAUUAUCACUAUGGAUAUGUGAACAGAAUUGGAUCAGGGUAAGUUUGAGCGUGAACCAUUGGUAUGAAACUCUGUGUAAGUAUCCGUCAUGUGUAUCUGCCUAAGACAAUGUUAGUGAACUAUUGUUUGAAAUAAGAGUAUGGGUUAAGGCAUGCAUUGAUUGGAAGUGGUUUCUAAGAGUAUGUUCUGUUAAUACUGUGAUGGUCCCAACCAUAGUAAAUGAUACAGAGAAGUAGUUGACUCAUAGAAAAUUCCUACAAGAUUACAAAGCAUCCAUCAAUGUAUGGUUCAUGAGCUCACGAAGUACUAUUGUACUUACAAGGUUUAUUAUUGCUUUUUAAGGUUGUUGUAGAAGAGACUUCGCUCGAGGAACGAUAGUAGGAGUACGCCAAGUUUGUAGUGGAGUGAGCUAUUAUGCAUAUAGUGGAUAUGUGGCGUAGUCUUAAAUACAUCCUUUGAGUAUGUCUUAAAAUGAUUUUCUAUCUUGUAGUGGUCUGUAACAAAUCUGAUGUAAUAAGUACUUAUCAUAUAUAUAUAUAUAACAUUUUAAAUUUCCAAAUGUUAAAGUUUUUUUUUCUUUUGGGAACUUCAAAUAAUAGUUUUAAAAUAAAUGAAAAAUUGUAAAUUGUUUUUGCUAAAUGUUUUGUAUCGUUUAGUGACACCCGAGAUCCGGACCCAGUGAAUUGGAUCGAGUUGAGGGCUUUACAAUGGUAUUAACAUGUUGGACUCACCAUCAAGUCAUCAUUGCGAGAUGCAUGAGGCGGAUGUCUUCAAUAGGAUGAGGAUGCCUACAAUAAGGCAGAUCCUGUCAUUCAUUCUGAUUUGAUAUAGAGCAGUUGAACUCACGUGGGAUUUGAUAACCAAAAAGAUCACGUUCUUAACAGAAUGUUGAAUAUCUGGAGCAACAAAUGGUUAACUUCCUUGAAUGGUUAUCUUCUGCUUGUCUGGGUGGUUAGGAUGCACCUCCUCUUGGUGACACUCCAUUUGUAGCAAGUAGGGUGCAUCCCUCAGAUAGUCUUCCGAUCUGCCACGUGUCCUCAUUCAUGGAAGAGAUAUGACAAUGCUAAAAUGUUAUAUUUAUAUUAUAUACAGCACCAAUACCCUCUUCCCCUCAGUAUUAUUCUACAAUUACAUUCAUGUCAUUUUUUACAAAGUUUUCAAUAUUCAAUGAGUGGGUUCAAUACCUAUUAGUAUUGAUCAGACAUAAAUCUUCUAUAUGGCCAUGGAACUUCAUUGUUUGAAACUAUUCAUGAAUAGCAAGAAGUCUAACUUAAAAUGCCUAAUGUUGAGGCUCCUGAAGGAGCAUUCCCUCAUAUGUUGUCUCUUUUCAAACGUACACAUUGAACGUGGUAUUUUCUUCUCAUGUUUUCAAACAACUUUUUCUCAUGAUAUUUCAUCAUGUUGCAUCCAAUAAAAAAAAUUCAAGAAAACAAUUAAGAAACUAAAAUAAGGCCAGCCAAAGGGGUUCUUAUCAUUAUUAAUUAUUAAUAAAAGACUUUUACUGAGUCUGUCAGGCAGUGAUUUCGAGAUCUGUUCUACUUUUGAAACUCUAAGACAGUGUAGAAGUAAUCAAUAUAGAAAGCUCGAAAAUGAGGGAAACCAGCAGAGAGACCAAGCUGUUUGAAUUCAUCUUGUGUCCUAUGCUUACCCUUGGCCCUGUAAAUUGUCAUCACAAAAAUGUCACCUUCCAGGAGUGCCCGAGUCCUAUGACUAUCAUCUGAUUCCUUGGGCAACACUGGCUCGCAUGCUAUCAAUUUCCCUCCCACAGGAAGUGCCUUGUAGCAGUUCUCCAUUAUCGCCUUGCAUUCAUCAUCUGUCCAUGUUGUCAACACCCACUGCACCACCCAUUGCCAAAUUUGGUCAAAUUAAUGCUUUUGACACUAUUCAUGGAAUGACAUUAAUUCAUAAAUAUAUAUAUUAUACUGAAUAAGCAUUACAACCCAAGAUUUAAAUCCUGGACUUGGUGCCCACAUGCUUAUAACUCACACUAGAUCUUACCACUGACCUUGGCAUUUAUUCAAAUAUCUUAUUUUUGAGUAAUUUUAAACAUCAAAAUAUUAAAAAUAUAUAUAUGUAGUAUGAAUUCAUUUUACAAGAUAAUCCUAAAGUCACCGUAAGCUUGGAUUGGAUCACCCAAUGCCCUAGAAUUAAUGUCAAUGUGAAUGCCCUAUAUAGUAUGAAUUCAUUUUAAAGAGAGCUUUAAAGCUACCCUAGAAUUAAUGGACCACCCAAUGCCCUGCCAACAGUGACGUAAGUAAUGUCAAUGUGUCAAUAAAUAAGCAGAUGAUGAACAAAACGACAACUCAGAGGCCCCAGACUGAAACCUAACUCCAAUUCAAAACUUUAUUUUAAUGUGGUUUCAAGUUCCGAGAUGACCCAAUUGGUUGGAAAUCUUGCGGUGCUACCGCAACGCAAAGAUCAUGGGUACAGCAAGGAUAUAGGUUAAAUGACAAAUUUCUCACUAUAAUAUUAGAACUUGUCAUUGGUUUCUACAAAUUAAAAUUUGUCAUUGAAUGAUUCUUAAUAUUUGUAUUGGGACGAAAGUAAAAUUAUCACUAUCUUUCAAUUCAAUAUUUGAAAUGUCACUUUAUGUUUGUUUAAUUGAAUUUUAUUUGAAUUUUGAUAUCCAAUUUUAAUUUUGAAUAAUUUGAAGACCAAAUUUAGUAUUUAUUAUAAUAUUUAACAAUAACAAAAUAACUAAUAAAAAAUUUAUUUUAUAACAACUAAACUUAAUUUUUAGAUUUUUUUAAAUUUUUCAAGUUAUGUUCAUUUAUUAUUUUUUAAUAUUCUUAUAAAUCAUUUUUUGUUAAAAUAAGAUAUUCAAAAUAACUUUUUUUUUUCAAAUAAACCUCAAAUUGUGCUAAAUCUGAAUAGUAAAUUUUAAUUUAAAAAACAAAGUUGGUGGCAGAAUUGAAACAAAUUUCUACAAUGGCAAAUUUGUCCAUAAUUUCAAAGUAAAAUGGCAAAUUUACCUAUUCUUAACCCAAGAAUAAAUGUACUAAAUUCACAAAAUUUAGCAGAUUAAAUAUUAAACGAAGUUAAAUUUUUUAUUACAUUAACUACAAAAGCAAAAGUUCCAUAUCCAAACAAUGAGUUUAAUUAAAAAGUAAUUAAUUAUGAAUAAUCCUUUUAUAUACUGUAAAUAAAGUAAAAAAUACAAUUUUAUAUAUUAUUGGAACAAAUUAUGACAUAAAUUUAUCAUUUAUUUAAUAUUUAUCAUUUAAAUGUUAAUGUCACAUCGGUUCACGUGUCAAAAAGAUAACUUCUCUAAAACUAUUACUUUCUUUAUUUGUGUCAAUAUACUAUUUUAGAAAAUAUGAUUAGUAAUUGUAAAAAUCAAAGAAAAAGAUUAGGUGAAAUAUAUGAAAUUCACCUUCAUGAAGAUUGCAUCAGCCGCUGGAAUUGACUCAAACAUGUCACCCCCAACGUGAGUCACGCCUACAAUCAAUCAACACUUUAACAGCCACGCACCCUUCAAUUAAUAAAAACAAUACCCAACCUUUUCUUUUAAUUAUUUUAAUAAAAAUAGAUUAAUAUCAUAUCUUAAACAAAUUUCAAAUUAUUUUAAUAACAGUUUUUAAAAAUUAAAUUAAAUUAUGCUAUCAUGUAAUGUAAUUUAAUUAAUUUUAGUUUUUAUAUUUUCAAAUUAUAAAAUUUUAAUUAAGAUAAUUUUUUGAUAUAUUGGUUUUAAAUUACCGAGUAAUUAUCUCUUUAAAUGAUAGCGAAGGUGAAAGUAAAAUUGAAUAGUGAACAAGGAAGAUAAAAAAUCUAACCCGGAAUACUAGGUGCUUUGGCAACGACCUCAGGCAAAUCAAAGUUGAUUCCCUCAACAUGGGGAUAUUUCUGCAAAAUCAUUCGGAGGCAAUCCCCCGCGCUGCCUCCCACAUCGACUAAUCUCUUCACUCCUUUCAACCCAUCAUAGCCGUCCAAUAUUGCUCUCAUGAAUGGCACUGAAACUCCCGACAUCGCCUUUUGCAUCAGCCCGUUCAUUUCGGGUUUCUUCCCAUAGUAACUAUAAGCUCCCUCCCCAUUCGCCUUCACGAAUGGCUCCGAUGUCGGAUUCAGCACUGCUUCGUGCACCAAUGGCCACGCUCUCAUCAAAGCAUCCUAAUACAUUUAUUCCACUCAAUUACCUUUCUUAUUUCAUGUAAAAACCCAUAGCUCUACUCUUCUACACAUGACGGUUUCACUGUAAAUCAAUCAAAUGAAGGAGAGAUCUAGGGAGAAUCUGUGGUUGAAAGUGAAAAAGUGGGGUAGGCCUACCUGGUGGUGCUGGAGGACAUAUGGUGCAUAGGAUAGACCCUCAGCGUCUGUUACGAGUGUUUUUCCGAUGUCAGUGAGGGAGUAUUUUCUCUCAGGGGAGUGGGAGUCAUCACCGCUGCAAUUAAGGUGUUCAUCGAAAACGCCGUAGCUGGUGAGCAUACGGAGGAUACGCUGGAGGUUUUCAGGGUCUCCGCCGCCGGAAGGGAGUACCCGUGAGAGAAUCUGGACGACGGAGAGUGGGGUGUUGGCGCCUCCUUGCCAGAUAGCAUCGGGUACGUUGAGGCGGACGAUAGCGUUGAGAGACAUGGGGACGCUUAUCAUGUUGGCCAGCUCCAUAAUGGCUAGCCUAGCUUUGUUACUGCUCUCCGCUCUCUGGACGUCACCCAUUAUAGGGGCUUCAAUAUCUGAUCUUCGAUCUCUCGCUGCGCUGGUUCGAUGAGGUUGAAUUGAGGUUUCAGUGGGUAGGAGAUUUGAGAUUUGAUUGCUGUGGUGGAGAAAAAUUAAUAAUAUCGCAACUUUUUCAGUUUUCUUUUGUUUCUAAAAUUGGUAAUUUCUUUUACAUUCAAGGUUGAACUUUUUUAUUUAAGUUAGUGGCUUUUAAGUUGGUAAUUGUCUCUAUAUUGGAGUAAUUUUUUUUUAUUCAAGGUAGUCUUUGAUAUUUUCAUAAAAACCAUAAGGUUCAAGUUUUAAUGUGGAAAUAAUUGUCAAGUUCAAGCCUCAAUAUAAGGACAAUUGUCAAGUUCAACAAUUAAUUUGGACAAAAAAAAGUUUAAGCCUACUGUGAAAACAAUUGCCUAGUUCAAACCCAAUGUGAGAACAAUUACUAAGUACAAUGCCUAACUUGGGCAAAAAAAAGAUUAACAGUUCAAGUUCUAAUGUGAGAAUAGUUGCUAAUUUUAGCUCUAAAUAGUGAUUUAACUCAAAUAGUAAUAGGGUAAAGUAUAGAAUUAGUCAUUCAACUAUUAGCGUAUUUCUGUUUUGGUCACCAAACUAUAAAAAUUUUCAAUUUCAUCAUUAACAUUUUAAAUUGCUUUUGUUUUGGUCACUCUCUAUUAAAUAGUUAAUGGAUGACAUGACCUUUUUUUCUAACUAGUAUAAUAAUAGCACAUUUAAUCCUCAAAACUUACGUAUUCUGUCAAUUUCUUGAUUAGUGUUGUAACACCCCUAACCCGUAUCCGUCGCCGAAGUAGGGUUACGAGGCAUUACCGAACAAACACAACCAUUUUUAAAACCAAACUGAUCACAAAUAUGAAAAUUAAAUCUUUUUUUUUUCGCAUAGCUAUUUAUAAUUUACGAUCAAAAUCUAACCAACAUCGUACUCAAACCUAUACAUGCCAUAAGAUCGAGUUCAAAUAUUUAACAAAAUACCAAAAGAAGUCGAUAGUGUGAUAGACUAUGCUGAUGAUCCCCGAGCUCGUAACGCGUCUCCAAAAUCUAUAAAAAAAAUGAAUGGACAAAAACAAUCAAAGUAAGCUUUUAUAGCUUAGUAAGUCUAUAGCAUAUCUAAAAUACAUAUAAAAGAAUCAUAUAAUUCUUUAAGUAAAUUUAUUGAAAUCACAAAUAUCAAAUAUGAUUACUAAUCAAACAUUUCUAUAUUGCGUUAUUUUGUUUAAAUCUAAAAAGAUGUAUAUUUAUCUAAUACACAUAAACGGACAAAUGUAUAUACAUUAUCUGCAUAUAAUCAAGUUACUAGCAUAAUCAUUAACGGCAUAUACUAAUUUCUAGAGUACUUAUUGUUCACACUUCAUCGGAUCCAUUUAAAUACAAUUGUUCAAAUACAUAUACCAAAAGUAUAAUUUUUUUUAUAUAUACUCAUCAACCAUAAAUGCCGAAUGCACAUAUACACUUAUACCCACUUAUGCCGAAUGCAUACAUAUAUACACUUAUUUUCACCUAUGCCGAAUGCAUACAUAUAUACCCUUAUAUUCACCUAUGCCGAAUACAUACAUAUAUUUUUAUCUAUCAAUUGCUUAGACCAAAUAUAUGUAUAUAUGUAUACGCUCAUCAAGUUAAUAUGACUAAAAUCAUAUGAUUGAACAUUUAUGUAUUCAUCAAUUUCAUAUAAUCAAAAUCAUAGAGGUAUCAAUUGUAUAUUAUCACAUAAUUUAAACGGAUUCACCGGCACUUAGCCUGCUAGGUUUUAAAAUCUGAUUCGGUACACCAGCUCUUGAGCUUGCUAGACUUAUAGUCCGAAAUGUAUCGCCGGCAUUAAGCCUGCUAGACGUAUAGUCUGAAUAAUUUCACCGGCAUUAAGCCUGCUAGACGUAAAGUCUGAAUUAUGUCACUGACAAUAAAUCCGAAUAGUACUGAGCUUUAACAAAAGAAUCUCAAUUCAUAGGAGUUGUAUCUCAUAAUGGUCUAUAGGAUCCACAUAAAAAAAUUUAGCUCAAUAAUUUAUAAACUAUAUCUUUAAACUAUAUAGGUAUAUAAAGUUCAAUCAUCAAAUCCAGCUCAAUAUCUUAAUUAUACAUCCGAAUAUAUAUAUAUAUAUAUAUAUAUAUAUAACUUAACACAUUGAAGCAUACUACUAAUAUCAUACUUUCGAACACCUUAUGAUAAUCAAAGCUAAUAAUUUCAUAUCUUCAACUCCGUUCAAGAACUUUUACAUGAACAUACAUACAUAAUCGAACCUCCCUUAUACAUAUACAAGUUUCAUACUAAAACUCAUUACAAAAACAUAUACAUGCAUAAUUGCAUAGUCGAACCCCAUAUAAACUUAUAUAAAUGACAUACCUAAAUUCAAUACUAGAACAUAUACAUGUAGAUUUGCAUAAUAUAUAUCCAAUACAAAUUUUAUACCAUUAUAAACCUAUGCUUAUUUNNNNNNNNNNNNNNNNNNNNNNNNNNNNNNNNNNNNNNNNNNNNNNNNNNNNNNNNNNNNNNNNNNNNNNNNNNNNNNNNNNNNNNNNNNNNNNNNNNNNAAAAAAAAUAUAAACUUUUAUACUCCAACUAAAUUCGAUAACAUUUAUAAUUGUAUAUCCUUAUAAACCUUCAUGCUUUAACUAAAUUCCAAUGACUAUAUAAGUAUAUACCUAUGAUUCGAACUUGUUACAAUAAUACAUAUAAUUCACUCAUACUUUUAAUUAUUUCAACCAACAUAUUUUUAAUUAUAAUACAUCCAAAAACAGCUCAUAUACUUAUUUAUAUACUGAUUUUAUGACAUUAAAUAGCUAAUAGACUUACCUCGAACGAUGGAAAAUCGAAGUCGGACGAUUAUUCGACUAAUUUGGCUUUUCCCCGAUCUAACUCCGAUUUCUUUGGUUCUCGAUCUAAAUAUAUUAAAAAUAAGAUAAUUUAUUUAUUAACACAUUCAAUUUAAUCCAAAAACACAUAAUUUGGAAAAUUACUAUUUUGCCCCUAAUAUUUACACUUUUUGCAAUUUAGUCCCUAUUGCAUAAAACACAAUUUAUACAAAAUUUGCCCAUACCACAUAAGGGCCGAAUAUUCAUGGUUCUCAUACAAGUCCACACAUUGCAUUUAUUUCACACUUUAGUCCCCCAAAAAUUUAAUUUCACAAUUUAGCCCUAUUUUCUCAGUUUCACUAAAAAUUCCAAUACAAAACAUAUUAAUCUAAAAUAUAUCUUUCAUUAUUCAUCAUCAAACAUCACAUAACACAAAUUUUCAUCAAUGGAACAACUCAAAAUAUUCAUCAAAAUCAAAAAUUUAAACAUGGGUCGGAUAGUAUUCGAAGCAACGAUCUCAAAAACGUAAAAAUUAUCAAAAACCGAACAAAGAACUAACCUUAAUCAAGCUUUAAAAUGGCCGAAUAUUACUUGACUUCCUUUCUUUUUUUCUUUUGCAUGAAUUCGGCUAUGUUAAGAUGAAAACAUUCAUCUUUUCAUCAAUUAUUUUAAUUUUAAUGUUUAAUUUAACAUUUGACUAAAUUAACCUUAUUAUAAUAAAUUUUUAUAACAUAUAUAUUAAGGUCAAUUAUGUCAUAUAUCACCCACUAUCUACUUUAUCGUCUUAUUGCAUCAUAAAUCCUUCCAUUUAAAAAGACAACAACAAUUAGGUGCUUUUAUAAUUAACCCCUAAAUUUCCAUUUUUCGCGAUUUAAUCCUUUUAUUUAAUCGGACACUCAAACAACAAAAUUAAAACACGAAAAUUUCACACAAUCAAAUGCACACAAAGUAAACACACAAAAUAAUAUUAAAAUAUUUUUUUGUCUCGGACUUGUGGUCCCGAAACCACUAUGUCCGAUUAGGGUCAAAUCGGGUUGUUACAAGUGUAGUUUAGCCAUUGUCACUUGGUGCAAUAAUCUGUUGCUCCAUGGUCUUUCGGUUUCAGUUGUAGGCCCCGAGGGAGAGAGUCAGUUUGGUAGUAAAGUUGAGCUUAAGCCAUGGUGUUUUUGGAAAAACCAAUAGUCCACACGCUCUAUAAUCAAUGGUAAACAUGUUGAUGUCUUCUAAGACCUCAAGAUUGCUAAAUUCAAUGGCAAAAACGAACCCAUCUUCAAGUACUAUGUUGUUGUUGUUUGCAAUAAAGAAGUUAUUUUCUUGUUGGGGAUCUAACGAAAGAAACUUAUAAUAAACUGGUUUCAAGUGUCACAAGGCUAGAACUUUAGUCUGGCAAACUGCGUGGCCUUGAGUGAUUUCUUUACUUCAAAUCCACCUAAGUCAGCCUUACUCUCAAAAAUUAGAAUUCACAAAGGAAUUUCUCCAAGGAACCAAAAUAAAUCGGAAGCAACUAAAACAGAUAAAGGGACUUGAAUCGAACAGAAAAGUCAUAAGAAAAUAAUAGCACACAAAGUUUUUGAGUAAAUUCUCUUAAAUGUAUUUUCUUACUUUGAAUGGAAAACAAGGGAUAAAGUGAUUAUAAAUGAGGGGGAAGACCUCUGUUUUAGUUGAGUUCCCUUAAUCCCAGUGGUACAGAUUGAAUUACAUCGACAAUUGUGUUGGAUGUGGUGCCCUAAGUGUAGUAUAUUCGUUUGUAUACUCGUAAUUUUUUCCAAAUUACUUUAAUAAAAUUAUUCAUGAAUUACAUUAAUACCCUUUGUAUGUUGUCCUCAAUGGUUUUUGCAUGCAAAGCAAAAUGGAAGUAAAUAUUAGCUCACUAGUUGUCUAAUGUUUAACUAAUACUCGCGGUAUUACGUGGUCAAAUCGUAAUACAAAAAGACAACUUAUAUUAGUAAACGAACCUAAACAUGUCCUUAGUAUAAUCGAAAAUGAGCAAACCUAUAACACCCCUUGCCCGACCCCAUCACCGGGUCCAAGCUACAGGAUGCCACAUUCGUUGCUAGAGCAACUAUAAUCAAAUAUACCGUAAAUAAAUCAAUCAAACAUACAAACAUAUCAUAAACACAUUCUUAUUAUGAUACGUAAUUAAAUUUGAGCCUUAAUCGAGCUUACGAAAGCUCAUUUGUUAACCCGAGCAUAAAAUAUGACCAAACUGUAAAGUUUUAAAAUUCCAGAGCCAAUGUCGUGACGUCACUUCCUCCACAUCAUGACGUCUCCAAAUAUUUUUUCACGUCACAAUUUCAGACCACUCGACAUCGCAACGUCGCAUACUGUUGGUCGAUGUUACAACGAGGAAGAUUGCUCGUUGGUACAUGGACUCUGUUUUUGGUAAAUUUUGAGUCAUUUGGUACCUAUUUCAUCUCAACCUCUCAAAUUCUAAGUUUGGUGCAUAAUUGCACAACUUACCUUCAUGAAAACAUACCAAAAACACAUAUUAAACAUUUCAUUUUACCUUUUCAAAUCAACCAAUUCAAUAGGCCACAAUUUGACAUCAAAACGUAUCAAUUCAACUUGUUCAAACACAAUCUAUUCUACUAUUCUUUUAUCCAUUCAAUGUCAUCAUUUUACCUAUACCAUUUCAUUCUCAAACAUACCAUUUUAAAUCCAUCCACAAUGUCACAACAAGUUACUAAAAUAAACAUAUACAUGUUAGUAUUAACCUUGUCAAAUUCAAACAUUAUAUAGGAUUCAAACUAAGUUAACAUUCCAAGCUACCACAUAUGAAUACCUAUGUACAUGCCAUAUAAUUGGACUUUUAAACGUUUGAAAGACUACUGAAUCAACAACAAGAUAGUGUGAGCUUCUCAUCGAUCCGCUAAACAGGUUUUGCAAGUUAGCAAUCUAUAAGGAAAAAGGAAGGCAAUGGAGUAAGCAUAUCAAAUUCUUAGUAAGCAAAUAGGUAUUUAAAUGAGAUUAGUGUCUAUCUACACAAUGAGAGUCCUUAGUGAUUUAAACUCUAUACAUUUUUGUAACGACCAGAUUUCUAAUUAUGUUAGAAAAUACAGUUUCGGGACCUUGUUUUCGUAAAUCGAGUCCGUAAAUAUUAAAUAGGGAUAUUUACAAAGUUAAUAUUUAUAUGAAUUGAAAUUAUGAUGGUUAAUUUAGCCAAAAUUGUGUUUAAUUAAGGCCUAGGGACUAAAUUGUAAAAUCCAAUCAAUAUAGAUUUUUUUAAUUGGUAAAUGGCUUGGGGACUUAAAAUUGAAAUUAUCUAAAGGGCCAAAACGGUUAAUAAAGCAUUAAUAAUCAUGUGUUAGUAUAUGGUAAUGAUGAUUUUGGAUUAAUUAAGUAAAUCAAGGUUAAUUAAGAUUAAAACCUAAUUAAUUAAACUAAUUAAAAUUUAAUCUAUAUAUAUGUAAAUUAGUGAAAGAAGAGAUGAAGUAUCAUCUUCUUCAACUGUCUAGAGAUUGAAACUAAGGAGAGGACGCCAUUGUUGUUUUAUUUAAGCUUUUUGGCCUUAAUUUCAUGUAAGUCCCUAAUCUUUUUUCUUUGAUUUAUAUAUAUAUAUUAUCUUGGAAGCUUGAUUAAGCUAACCCAAAGAUUAAUUUGAUCAAUUAGUGAAUUUUUAUAAAGUUUCCAUAGUUGAAAAAUUGAUAAAAUUAGUGUGAAAUUGAUAGAAAAUAAGUUUAAUUUAAGAAAAUGGACUAAAUUGUAAACAUCAAUUGAUAAUUUCGUACAUUAGGACCAAAUUGAAUAAAUAUAAAUUUUUCAUGAAAUUUUGGUAGGGAUAGAAAAUAUAAGGUCCCUAAUAGAUAUAUGUGAAGUCGGGUUUUAAUUCGAAUGUCGAGAUUGAAAGUUAUGAUUGUCUCAUGUUUAAGGACUAGAUUGAAUAGAUUGCAAAAUAUGUGUGACUUUUUAAUUGAUGUUUAAUUGAGAUGGAAUUUAAUAUUGUGUAUCAUUGAAUUAUUAUUAGCUAAAGAUGAUGCAGGGCUGUUGAAAGGGAAAGGAAAGGCGAUGGUCGACGGCGAGUAACUCGAGUAUUUGAUUUGUGUUUCUAUUAUUCAAAUCACUAUAAUUGUUACAUAUUUAUACUGUUCUGCAUAAUAUGAUAUUGGUGUGAGAUGAAAAUGAUUAUUUGAAUUGAAUUGUUAUGAUUAAGAUUGAUUAUCGAAAUAGAGGACUAAAUUGAAUAGAAUUGAAAAUAGUGUAAUUUGAUGAAACUAUGAAAUUGACUUUGAAUUAGGAUGGAAUAUAUUUUUUAUGUGAUAAAUUGAUGAAUUGAAUUGUUAAUUGGAGAUGAUGAAGUGUAAUUUUUAUUAUUUGAUGAAUUGAAUAAUUAGUUACCCUAUUAACUGUUCGAGCAAAUAUGAUAGGGUGAGUACGGGUUACUUCGGCUAUAUGUCAAUAAUUGCUAGGUGCAUUUUUCUUCGAACGUUCAGAUGAGUGCAGGGUGCAACUUAUAUUUCGAUUAUAUCGAUGACCGUAGGACGUAAUCUAUUUACUUCGGAUUGCACUGGGUGCCAAAUUUAUGUUUUGGUUGGGAUGUGUAAAUUCGUUUGAGUCUGAGUCAUGUUAAUAGGGAUAUAAAGUGUGAAUUAGUUAAUUAAUAUUGGAAAUGACUAAAUGUUACAAAGUUGUACCACAAAUACUUAUUUAUGAUAUUUGAUUAACAAUAGCAUGUGAAAGACCAUGCAAACCGGUUAACGAGACUAAGGGUCGAUAUGGUAAGAUAAGGAAUGAUUGAUUUGAUUCGAAAUUGAAAUAUGAAUAUGGUGGUAUAUGUCAAAUUGAGUAGGAAUAUGAAUAUUGAUGAUGUUGGUAUGGUAUUAUCAUCUAGCUUAAUAGUGAAGUAUUACACAGUUGAUUCAUUUGGCAUAAUUAGUAUGUUUAUGGCAUGUUAUAAAGAUAUGUGUUUUCUAGAUUAACAUGAUUUGCAUAUGAAAUGAUAUUGUAUAUGAAUUGGUUGAUAUUUAAAUUUGAAAUUGAUUUCCUUUCACACUUAGCCUUAGAGGCAGACUUAGAGAGACUUUUCCUUAUCCUUGCCUUCUUAUGGCUCACGAAAGUAAUCACCUUUCAUUCUUACCAAAACCUUUAACAUGGUUUGUCCUCUCGUAAAUUCACUUUAUACCUACUAUGCCCAAUUUGUAGAUCCCUUGGCAUUUAACGAAAUGUAGAUGCCAGCUCAUUGGCGGGCUUCUAACCAUUCCAUUGUUGGAUACACUCCAAUUUAUAAUUUCUUUAUGGAAUCUUAAUUUGGUGGUCUCUUAAAGGCGAACAUCGCCUAACUAACAUAUUCUCCAGUUUAAUUAUGCAAAUAGUUCUACGAAUCUUAGAUUUGUUCAUACGUUAACUCUGUCCACCUAAUGGGUCAAUUCAUUUUCGUCACAGGGCAGCUAAGAUCGUCCAUGAAUGUUUUCAUCACUACCUUGGCCAUGUAUCAAGGCUAUCACUCAAAUUUUGGAGUUCUACUCUAAUGGUGACAAAGGUUUAUCUGCCCUAUUUGAAAUGGGUAACAAUUGGCAAAUAUUCUCGCCUUAAGAAUACUAAAGGAUUCUCCUUUCUCUCGAUGCCAAUAGGUGUCAUUAUGUAUUGAUGGACUUGAAUGCCUCUUUACCAUUCGUUAAAUUUUUCCAUAACCCUCCAAGCUCUCCUUUGGUUAUAAAUAAACCAGAACGCUAAGUGGAAGUUCAUAAGUCUACAGGCCUUUGGCUUGGCCAAUGCAUUUGCUACCCUUCACUUUUCUUCUUCCUAUCCUUCUUUUUCUCAUCUAAUUACAUUAUUAGAGUAUAGUUCUCCUACUACUCUAGGUGUUAGAAUCUAAAAACUAAAUCAUUUAUCCACUGCCUUCCUUAAUCUACACACUGGCUAAAUCCUCAAUAGAAAGCAUUGGCAAGGCGAAGGUUCCUGAUUUACAAGGACAUAUCUAGUUGUUACAAUAUGGUGGGUUACCCGUAAUCCCGAGAAAUCCGUUUUCCUACCUUGUUUCUCUUCUUGGGGCGAACCGAGGGAAGUGUUGUCUGGGCGACGCUAAUGGAUACCUCAUCUCCCUUGAAGGAGAUGUUUAUCGUUAGAGAUUAUACACCUCCAUUUCUGAUCAAUCUAUAAUAAGACAAGAAUCGACAUAAAAAACUAGGGGAGUCAUUAUCCUUAACCUCCUUAUUCCUUUUUUAGACCCUACUCAUUGCGACUCUUAUUGUAACAUCAUGGGGAUACCACGUCAGUACCGCUCACUUCUAUUUUCUUUUAUUGUUAGGAAUCCACCUCUCUUCUUUAACAACUCUAGCAGUUUCCUUUCAACCAUUGACAAGGUGGAGAAAAUCCUAGACUGCCCUUUAAAAUGGAAGUGAAGCUAAGCGGGCUGAACUCAAGAGGGUCACCUAUUAUAGCGGACAACGUCGUGUACAACUCUUUAGAUUCAUAGAAAUAUGUCUGCCAGAGUUGGGGGUUAGGGGGUUUACCUAUGCUCCCCUUGCUUAGAGGCCUAAAUUCAAACCUUUUGAGGGUUUGCAAAAGAAAAAGGGAUUGGUGGGAGUUGCUCCCUGAUGAAAAGGUGCACUUGCAAAAUGGGGAGUCUCUAAUCCCUUGAGGAAUGUAUAGCAGACACCAAGCCUGACAUCCAAGGGUGCAUUCCUCAACUCUCUUGUCUAAUCCCCAUUUAAUCUUGACACAAAGGUCUUUCUCGUUAAAUUUCGAACUUGCAACUAAGUACUCCCAAUGCUAUGAGUUCUUUCGAUGCGAACCUUACAACUCCAUUUGUAGGCUUACUAGUGGCGUCCUCGGUUUCGACCCUCCUACUCCUUUAGUUCCAAUUAGUAGAUUUUCAGAGGGGAUGGAAGGCAUCCGACAACUUUCUUAUUUCCAAGAAUUAGGCAUAGUCAUUCCUAAAUCCUAUUAAAGGACUAGCCAAGAGGAAGUGAAAACACCAUUAAGGCAGCAACCAACUUGGUGAACAAAAAUGAUUAAUUCCCUUUGUAUAUUUUCUUUAAUGAAAAUUUCUUUUCUCUAGCACUUGUACUUUCAAUCACUGUAUUUAUUUAUCCUUUCUUUAUAUCCCUCUUUUUUGAUUCAUCUACUUUUACUUUCAUUUUUGUCUACCAAUUUAGGCGAAUAUAUCUACACUCAGCACAUGAUAACUUAAUAAAAUAAGGACUUGAAAGACUUAGCCAGAUCAACAUUAUGCACAUAAGGGGUACUAUUUCCAAUUCCUACAUCCAAAAGACUGACUAAACCAUGCUUUAAUACAACUAAAUUUUUAACACCCUUACCGGACCCAAUCGCCAAGUCUGGAUAAGGAGUUCACAACAGAACUAGAUUGGUCCUAACCGCAACUUUUAAAUAUGGACUUUAUUACUUAUUAAUAAGAUUCUUAUAACAGAAACAUUAAAUUAAAAUAAAAGUGUACUAUCUUGAAAUUCCGAACUCCAAGGAAACUAUCUAGUUACAAUAUAUUUGACCCCGAAGCGAAACCUCUAAAGGUAUCCCCUUCCUAUGUGCAUGAAACUUUACUGAUCUUGAUCUGACACGAUCUAGCUUGGUCCCUCACCGAGUUCCUUAUCCCGCGAGCCCUACAAAACACAAGCCAAAACUUUGAUAAGUUCAAUGAACAUAGUGACCUUCUUUAUCAAUAUAAUAUAAAAACAUAAACAAAUCCCAUCUUGGGAGGUUUUAAUUGAAAGGGGACAAACACACUACUCCUUUUUUGGCUUGGACACUCAUACUUUAUCCAGAGUGGCGAGCUCCAAGUCAACUUUCGUAUUUCCUUCUUGGUGAAUCGAUCACUCAACAAACAUUACUUGGUCAAGUUUAUGACCAGUCAACAUGUUGUGGCGAUUCCAAAUCAUCUCGUUAUACUUGUGAAUUCUCACAUUCCUACACAUAACACCUUCUUAAAUGAAAAUCCCAUUACUUGGUUUCCUUUUUGUUAAUUCUCUUUAUCUCAUAAAACACAGGCAUAUUUGUUGACAAUCCCUUAAUGAGACUGCUAAUAAAAAUCCACGUCAUUCUGGUGGACUUAACUCUAUUUCAUCCUACUUAUCUCUACCUUUUACUCAGGUUGAAAUGUUGUUGAAUUACUUCCUUAUAAUCCGCCUUAUCUGCGCUACCUUGCUUUCUACGGUGUAUCACAACCGUCUACUUAGGACAGCUUGAGCUACAGUUUCCAGUGUACUAUUAUCCAUACCACCAUUUGAGUUUGUCAUCUUUCUUACAUGAUAGUUCUCUAUGAAACUAACUCUGUGAUGAAUGUACUUGCCAUAUGCUUUCCUCAAAGAGGAAUAGUUUCAACAAAUAUAUUUGUCACUUGGAUUAAUCUUAUUAGUAUAUUUUCCUGACAAUGGGUUCCAAUUGACCCCUCUUUAUCAUAUAGACUACCUGAGGUACCUAUGAUCGAACUUCUAACAUAUAUAGUUCCACUCAGAACUUUUAGACGGUUCUUAAUGGCAGAUCAUUACCCGCGAUCUACGGAUAAAUCCUCUUCCAUUGCCCUUAUAUAAGGCCCUACUGGUACACCAUUUCCCACGUCUAUUCUUGUUGGCUUCUAUGAUUAUUAUUUUGGUGGUUUGUUCCAUUUUCUACUACUUUUACCUUGUUUGUCGAAUUCCUCAAAACCUGCUUGCUAGCUAUUAUUCACCAACACUUGCAUUUACUUUUGACCAUUUUUCCUUAUACAUAAUUCUCUAUAAUUACCGUCUUAGUAUUCCACCCCACGUUUAAUAUCCCAGUGAACUACAUAUCCUGCCAUAACCGAGCCAUGGUCUUACACAUUUUUACCCUAUGUUUAACGUCCUGGCAAACUACCCUGUGUUUAAUGUCCCGACAAACUACAUUUGUUGUCAUAGUCGAGCUAUGGUCUUACACUUGUAAUCCUAUAUUUAAUGUUCUAACGGACGUUCUCAUGUUUACUAUCCCAUCGGACUACCCCGUGUUUAAUGUUCAAUAGAUUGUACUGGUUGCCAUAGCCGAGCUAUGGUCUUACAUAUUAGGCCUCUUUUAAGGUGUCACCCCAUAGGACCUUACUGUCAUCGCGAUGUCGCCCCAUAAAGCCUGUUGAUCGCCAUCGCGGUGUUGCUCUAUGGAACCUAAUAAUUGUCGUCAUGGUGUCACCCCGAAGGACUAGUUGAUAUCAAUCCAUUUCUUAUUUAACCUUGAUGCUCGGACACCAAAGUGUCCCCCCCCCGCAAGGCCCAAAGCUUCACACAUUACGGUUGUACCCAAAAACAUCGUAUAGUGGUAUCUUAACGAAAUUCUAUUUCUUUAUUCAUCCAUCCGUUCCUUCAUUUCGCCAUUCCUAACCUUGAUGCUUGAUCAUUGUAGUGUCUCUUUCGCAAGGCCCGGAGCUUCUUACAUCACGGUUUGCACUCAACAACUCUAUAUGGCAGUAUCUAAUAGAAAUUUCCAUUCUCAAAUCCUAGCUUCAUCUAUGCCAUCAAUUCUUUCCCUUCGUGCUCCACAAUUUAUAAGCACGCAAGCACAAGCAUAUGAGCACGAAUACAUAAUAACAUGGAGUACGCCAAACUUAGCUAUGUGUUAUCGCAACCAUUCUAUGCGUACCGACACAUUUGUGGAUACUCAAUUACCUACUCAACUAUUUGUUUACAUAGAACUCUCAAACAACAAAUAUCAUACAUCAUCAUUAAACUCAUUCUGAACUCAACAUAGAGUCAUGACAGUCAUACAACAACCCAUAAAUAGAGUAUAGUAGCUAAGAUGACAACCAAUGUCAUAAGUUAAACUUAACAAUUCCAACUUUAAAACUCAGUUUCCAAAAACAUCCAUAACCACUUAAAGGUUCUUGAAAAUUCUUAACUUUAUUUCUUAAAUUUACAAGCACCGAAGGACUUAGGCUUUACCAGUUCACUAAAUUUUCUACUUUUUCAACUUAAACCUCCUGGUCAUCGUCCCAUGCAAAGCUUCCAUAACUAUCUUUUCUUCAUAGCAACCAAGGAAAAAGAUGAAGAAGAAGAGAGAAUGAAAUAGAAUUGAGAGAAAUUCACCCUAGGAAUUCACUUCUUAGUUUUUUUUAUAGCUUUUCACGCAUGGUCUUCAACUGUAUAGAAACCAUCCACUGAUAAUCAUUUUGUCUCCCACUAAGGAACCAACCGAUUUUAAUCCAACCAAACCAGAAUUGGAUCUCAACCACGUCCAGAAUUAGUCACUAAAUUUUUAUGAUUUUUCUGUAGAGGCCAUCAACUUAUGGUUUCUUUCAAUUUAACCCCAAAUGGUUCCUAAUUUUCUAACUUAAGGAAAACUGAGUGUGACAUAUACGGCAUUUAACUAGGUUGAGUUAGAAUUAGUAUUUUGAUUUGGUUAUUUUCUAAAGUACAUUAAAUUGUGAAUGUUAAAACUAUAACUAGACAUGAUUUGUGGUAUGAUAACCAGUUUUAUGUUCAUAUACAUUUGUUAUAAGUGUUAAUUAGUUAAAUGAAAGAUUUGGAUAAAUUGUUAGUAAAUUCAAUUGAAAUUGUUGAAAUGGAUGAUAGUAUGCUUGUAUAAUUGAUUCAUUUGACAUAAUGGAACUUAUUAGGUAUUCAGAGUUGGCUAAUACUAUAUAUGUUGGUACAUUUGAAAGGUUUUAGGUGUUUGGAAUCAGGUACCAAAAACUUACCCUUUUGAAAACAAAAUGUCACGUUGCGACAUUAAAUAGUGGUUGUUUUGACAAGAUCUAAAUGGCAUGGCACGAUGCGAUUCCGAACUUUAGUUGUUGCGACGAGGCUAGAUAGUAUGUUGUGUCGCGAUGAGAAAUCCCCUGAUAUUGCAAUGUCAAUCCAAAGUUUUAAAUUUGUUUCAAUUUGGUCUUUUUUAUCUCGGGUUAACUUUAGAGCUUCUGUAAGCUCGUGUAAUGCUCGUUAAUAGUUGUUUAAUGUAUAGUACACAUGUUUUGAUUGCAAUUAAUUAUCAAAUGGUAAAAUUUAUAUUAAAUUUGAUCGUAGUUGCUCCAACAACGAAUGUGACACCUUGUAACUCAGACUUAGCGAUCGAGUCAAGUAUUGGAGUGUUACAAUCUUUACCCUUUAGGAUUUACAAUAACUACCUUGGUAACUUUUGUUUUACUGAAGUAUUUUAUUGGGCCACCAAGGCUUCAACUAGGUGGGCUUCUCUAUGGGUUCCACGAAUUGAGCUAGUUCAAGUGGGUCAAAUGAGCCCUAUUUAAUCAGUUGACCUUCAUGAGACGCUUUAUGUGCAUUUGUCACGGGCUUUGAUUUGCGGCCCAUAAUACAAACUUGCACUUAUUGAUCCCAUUUUGGUUUCAAGAAAAGAACAUAUACUUGGAAAAAAGAGAUUCUCAACAAGAGUUAAAUUUCAUGAAAAAGGUGGACUUCAUGAGGUCUCAAUUGAGUGUAAGAAUAAAAAUGUAAAUUCAUUAGGUGUGUUGGUGGUUGUUGUUGAGUCUAAAACGGAGAUUAGAAUUGAUGGGAAUUCGCCUUUCACGUCAACUAUCUCCAAUGGAAAUUCGGAGGGAAUGAAUCCAUAAAUGUCAACUAAAGAAGAUUACUUGUUUAAUGUGAUGUUCAUGAUUGGGUUUUAGCCCUGGUUUAAGGCAUGUCUUAUUUAUAUUCAAGGAAUGUUUCAUCAUCAACAUCCUCAUCGCUCACAUCAUUAUCAUCAUCGCUGUUAUCUCGAACAGGGAGAGGAGUGGUUCAUUAGAAGAGUUUAACCAUGGCGAUUAAUGCAUUCUCCCUAUUCCAUUUACAGCAUGUUUUGCCAAUACACCCCUAAUCGGUGGGCCCCACUUAAGCCCCCUUUAUUCCGUUGUUUGGUUCAUGGUAAUGCUAUUACGGGUGUAAUACGUUACUUACCUAAUCGGUGAAAUCCACCGAUUUGUAAUACAUCCCUUUUGCUCAGUUUAGGUCCUGAUUCAAUUUUCUUCCCUGUUUUAGCCUCCCGAUUGACGCUUCUGUCUUACCCAAAGUCUUCUGUUUCUUCCUUCUACCUUUCUUCUCCACUCUCCUCGCCGUUUCUCCUUCUCUUUUUUACCUCUCUUUGGCGUCACAACUAGACUUCGAACACCGAUCAGAAAGCAGCCUCCAUCUCACUGUUUCUGUUCCUCUCCAUCGGUGAAACUGUGUUCUGUCCAUUGGAACCGGUAAGGAAGAUACUGGAACAAUUCCUUAUCUUUUUUUUUUGUGCUUUGCACCUGACAAUACUGGGUUCCAGCACCCAUGAGUGCGCCUUUGCACUUUUGACAAUACUGGAACAAUUACGUUUUACGGUUAUGUAUUCUAUGAACAAUUUAUGGUCUAGAUUUCUACCUUAUUAAUUACUAUUUCCAUGAGUAGGGCAAAGAAAGGGGGGAAUGAUGGGGUGUAGGGUUCUAUGUUACUUGGACUGGACAUAAGUGUUGCAUACAGGAAUGUGUACAGAACAACAAUCUUUUUAAGCUUUCCUUGUAUUUGAAGGAUCAUACCUCUAUACCGAUGUCUGAUAUGGAUGUCGACAUAGGUACUUUGAAAAAAAUGAAGAGCCAGAGCAACACAAUUGGAGUUUGGACAAUAUGCUCCUGUUGAUUACUCUGGUUCAGGCUUUGACAUCUAGUGGAUUAGUUGUAUAGCAUCUUAGAUUUGAAUGUAAUUUCCUUAUGCCAAGGAGCUGUUGAAAUUUGUGAAGGAGCAGUAUUUGUCUCUUACAAUUGUUUUGAUAUUAAAUAUCGGUUCAAUUUCUCUGUUUUGGUUGAUCUAAUUGAAAUGAAAUUUAUCUGCAUAUGACUUGCUUGCAAUUUUCCUGCUACAACUACUUGCCAUGUCAUUAGUAGACAUUAACAUUUUGUUAUCUGAAGUCUUUACCAAUUUGAAAGAUAACUGAGUUAUUGAAUAAAGUGAUGUGGAUGUCUAUUAAGGUCUUGUUGAUUAUGAUAAAUGCUAUGCGUGUUACUUUUAUAUACAAAGCAGGUCUUUUUAGUUUCAUCUAAAAAGAUGGCUCAUAGUAUUGUCAAUUAUAAACCAAUUUUUUUCUGGUCCCGUAAAGUCUACACACAACAACAUUUGCCAUCAUGUGUUAGAGAUAGAGAGAAAGAAAAAAGGGAGGGGGCAGGCUUCAUUAAUUUAUGAAUCAAAAGGUAUGUAUGAGUUGGUCUAUUCCUAUAUGCUGUCAACAUACUGCACCUCUUUAAUCUUGGUUCUGCAUCUUCUUAGGCUCAUUAUGCCACCAUAGGAAUAGCCUACUACCCUGAACUUUUGCCAUUUGGUAGGUUUUGGUGGAUAUGAUGGUUGAGUUGGUUAUAUUCUUCAGCCAGUUGGGAUAGGUUUCCUCAGUUACAAGCUUAUCAAUGGUUCUUGUGUUAUCUGGAACUUGACUUGGUUAUUGCCAAUAUGUUUCUGGAAUCUUGAAAUCAGCUUCCUUUUCCGUGUUUGAAUUAAGAGUGUAUUCACUGCAUCCUAAAUUGUUUUGCGGUUUGCAUGCUAUCACGGCAUAUUAGCAUCAUCUUCUGUAGGAUACAUGAUAGACUGAACAUUUUAUUAUAGUUUGUAUACAAGUAGAAUGCCAGUUGGUUCUUCUAAAUCAUAAUCAGUUACUUUUCUUAUUUUUGUAUGUUCUCCUAUAGUUCCCGGUGGGUCGUGCCCAUCGACUGCUGAAAACAAGGGUUAGUGCAAACGGAAGGGUCGGAGCAAUAGCUGCUGUAUACACAGCUACAAUUCUCGAAUACUUGACUGCAGAAGUGCUAGAACUGGCAGGUAACGGGAGCAAGGAUUUAAAUUAUAAAGAUGGAUUCAAACAACUGAUAUUUUGAAUUACAAACUGCUCCCUGAUAGAAAAAAGAGCAUAUUUAUAUAUAUUCAGAGUAUUGAUUUGAGUUAAAUGUUUUGAUAAGUUGUAUUCAUCUUCUUCAAUUUCUUAAAAAUUAUAUGAGUUUCCAUUUCUAUAAAAUUCCUUCUAAAUAACCAUGAGGUGAUGAAAAGGUGCUUCAGAUAGUAGCAAAGGAGUAGGCCAAUAGCAGAUAAAAUAAGGGGUCAUUUUCAAGACAUUUUUGAGCUAAUGGCAGUGGUAAAUCCAUGAAGCUGUGGGUCAAAUGAAGAAAUUGGAACGCGGUUUUACCACGACUCUUUGACAAAGACCUAAUCUUCAUAGAUUGUUUGUUGCUUUAGAACUUCUAUUUUGUCAUCUUUUAUUUGAGAUUUCAUUGCAUGGUCUAUAUUACAUUUUGACCAUCGAAUUGUAAAUAAUUACUAUAUAAUUAUUAAUAUCAUUAAUUUAUGACAUUUUAAUUAUUAAAUUGUUAACGGCAUAUCUUCAUUUUAGAAAUAAAUUUCAAAUCAAUAUUCUCAACCUAAUCUUCUUUUUCUUGUUUCAAGUGAAAUAAAUUUUAAUUAAAAUAUAUUUAAUAAUAAUUAUGUUAAAAUAUGAUUAAAUUAUUUGUUACUGAUAUUAAUAAUCUUAUUAAAAUUUAAUAACAAUAACAAUAAUCAUUUAUCUAAACAAAUUUCUGCUAAGGGUAUUCUAGUCAUUUUAGUUUUUUCCUUUAUGCUAUUACACCUCUAUUCCAUUCAACCAAACACAAUAUUACUGUUACGCCUCUAUUCCAUUACAUUCAACCAAACAGUUGAUUUGCUAUUACACCUCUAUUCCAUUACACCUCUAAUCCAAUACACCUCUAAUCCAAUACAGCGAACCAAACGUGCCCUUAAUUUUGUGAUGCUUUUGUAAAAAAUAACAAUAUUUUUUAGGAAAAAUAUAAUAUAAUAUAUUGUUUUUUUUUCAUAAUAUGUAAAUGUAGAAUAUUAAAUUAUAUUUAUAUUAAUUAUGUGUUUAAGGAUCAAAUUGAUAGAAUAUGUAAAUAUGGAAUGUUAAAUUUAUUGAAUUACUUAAAAUCAUGAUCAAAUUGAUGGAAUGUAAGUAUUGAGGACUAAAUGUGUUAUUAGGGGUGUUCAUUCGGUUAACCGACCCGAAAUUACUAUAACCGAAUUAACCGACCUUCCAAAAAUUUUAACCGCUAACCGAACCGAUUUUUUUUAAAAGAAAUUAACCGAACCGAAAUUUUUUCGGUUAAUAAGGUCGGUUAACCGAAUUAACCAAAAAUUAUGUAUUUUUUAUUUUUGGUUAAAAUUACCCGAAUUACCCGAAUUACCCGAAUUAACCGAAUUAACCGAAUUACCGAAAAAUACCCGAAUUACCCGAAUUUUUUUAUUUUUUAUUUUUAAAAUUAAAAAAUUUAUAAAUUAUUAAAGUAAAUUGGGUUUUAGACUUUAGUAAAUUGGAUUGUCUUUUAGUUUUAGUUUUAUUGGAUUGGGUAAUUGGGUAAACUUUAGUUUUAGUUUUAUUGGGUUGGGUAAUUGGGUUGGGUAAUUGAGUUUGGGCUGGGUUGGAUAAUUUUAUUUAUUAAUUUUUUCGGUUAACCGACCGGUUUCGAACCAAAUUAACCGUUAACCGAAAAAUCAUAAAAAAAUUAACCAACCCCCGACCGAAAAAAUUCGGUUAACCGAAUUUUUUCAGUUUUACCCGAAUUAUGCACACCCCUAAGUGUUAUUAUACCAAUUAGAAAAAGACCGCGUCGUCACUCCCGUUAACCAUUUGACGUAGAGUGACCAUAAUAGAAAUGGCCUAAAAUGUUAGCAGCGAAAUUGAAAUUUUUUAUAAUUUAAUAACUAAAACAGAAAAACGCUAAUAAUUAAAUGACUAAUUCUAUAGUUUACCCUUAUAAUAUUGCAUUAAUUUCAAACCAUGCUAAGAAAACCGGACCAGGUGUUAACCUUCCACUUUCCACUUGUUCAACCCAUAAAGGCUUUAGAAAGACAUUUUAACUUAAUUGCCCAACCCAAUUCCUUUUCUCUCAAUGUGUUUGGCCCAUUCAUCCAUCCCAUCAUUAACAAUUGGUUUAAAAUUUUCACAAUAAAUAUAAAAUUUAGUCUUAAUAUUUUAAUUUCGAGACUUUGAUCUUUGUACUUUAUUUAAUUUAAAAAUGUUCUCCCUAUCUAAUUUGCAGUUAGCAUUGUUGACAUGACCAUUGUAUAAAAGGUAAAAUAAUUUUUUACGCUGACAACUUUUACAAUUUUAUAUUAGAUUAGUCUUUAGUGUAAGAAAAUUAGAAAAAUAGGAAAAAAAUAAAUUUGUUCACAUUUUCAUUAAAAGAUGGUAACUUAAAAAAAGUGAUAUACUUUUUGAACCGAAACAUUCUAGAAUUUGUAGUUACUAUUUUAAUUUUUCUUAACCAUGCAUUGUUAGAAGAAGUGAAACCCUUUUUAACAUAUUUGUCUUUUUUCCCCUCUGUUAAUGUAUCUUUUUAGUAUGAUAACCUUCUAAUGUGAUUGCAAAACAACGGAAUAACAAAUUUAAUUAAAGUUAUAACUCCUAUCACACGAGUAUGUUUGUGGAACCAAUUUAAUAUAUAGAUAAAUAUUUCAAAAUGAUAUAUAAUAAAUAAUGAAAUGUAUUGUUUGAAAUUUAUUAAUUAUAGUAACACAAGAAAUAUAUAUCAUAUUAAAAUAAAAAUUUAAUUACAUUGCGAUUAAAAAGAAAUUUAAAACAUAAAUACAUCACAUUAACAAUAUAAAAAUAAAAAUUUAAUUACAUUGCGGGUAAAAGGAAAUUUAAACAUAUAAAUGCAUCAUAUUAACAAUAUUAAAUGCACUACAAUGGUUUAUCAUGGAGUUGUUGUCAAUAGUAAGUUAGUGUCGAGUUGACUUCUGAUCUCAGUUCAAUUAACACAUUAUUAAUAUAUAUAAUUGAAGGAAGUAAUAACUUGUGCAUAUAACAAUAAAAAUGUAUAAAAAUUAUCAAUAUGAAAUUUUGUUCAAAUGGUAAUAGGUUUUACUAAUUCAAUUGGCAUGGGUUCCAAUCCCACCAUAUGCAUAUUUUUAUUGAUUUUUGUUAAAAUAAAAAAGACUAAUGUACCCUCAAAAUAUAACUUGUUUAAUUAUGGAAAGACAUUUCCAUAAUUUCCCUAACCAAGCUGGUGUCUGGUUGACUCGUGAAACCAACUCAGUUAGGGAUGUAAAUAAUAGAAUAAAUAUAUAAUUAAUAGAGGUAAUAAAGUGUGUAUAAUAAAAUUAAAAUGUAUAAAACAUAAAAAUAAAAUUUUGGUUGAGUAGUAAAUUUAAGGUUUUGCUAACUCAAUUAGCAUGGGUUCUAAUCCCAUCAUCAUAUACAUAUUUCUAUUGGUUUUUUAAAAUAAAAAGAUUAGAAUAUUAUCAAAUAGUUUAAUUUAAUUUAAUUUAAAUGUGAAGGGACUCUAAAGUAAUUUCCAUAAUUGAGUUGGGAUCUGGUUCAUUGGUGACACCAAUUCAUUAAAAUACUUUAUAAAUGGUAUAAAUAUAAAUAAUAUAUUAAAGGUGCAAAAUAUUUCCACCACUAAUUUGAAAUAAUACUACUACCUUAAUGAUAAUUUUGGAUCUAAUCAUUAACUUUUCAAAAAGAAUCAAAUCAAUCUCUUUUAACAAAAACCAAUGUUUUUCUAAAUUGGACCGGUGGUCUAACCGGUCAGGCUACUAGUUCACUGAUUCGACUACUUAAACUGAUGCAAUCUGUUCAAUCGACCUGACUAAAAAAUAAUUAAAAAGUAAAAAAAAUGGGUAAAGAAUCCAGUUCAACUGGUUCGUACUGAUUCCUAGGUCAACUGGUUCAAAGUCCUCUCCGAACCGGUACCUCGGCCAGUUCUCUUUCCAGCCGGCUUCUCCAGUCCAAUUCAAACAAUAUUGACAGAAAUAUUGGCAAGAAUAUUAAUCUUGUAACGAUGUUAGCAUGACAACCCACGUGACUAUCAACGUGUACUUCAUGUGGAUAUAAUACUAUUUGUCUUAUUUGUCCUGUCAAUAGAUAAUUUAAAAUUAUAAACAUAUUCAAAAAUAAAAAUAAAAUAAAAAUUUCAUAAAAAUUUUAAAAAAUAGCAUUGAGUACACAUGGAUUGUUGUGCGAACUACCAUAUUUAAAAUUUUAACUUUUUGUCAGUAUUUUUGUCAACAAAAAAGCAAUUAGACUUUUUUUUAAAGGUAAAUGGUCAAAUUUGAUUCCUUUUAAAAAGUUAAUGGCCAAAUUUAGCUAAAAAAAAUGACCUAUUUGACAAAAAAAUAUAAACGUUAAGGGCUAAAUUUAUCAUUAUACCUAAUGUUUUUUUAUUAAUUUAAGAAAAAUAUUACCUGCUUCAGAAGUUGUAUACCCAACACUUUAGCUUUUGGUUCCUUAUCUAUUUGAACACAAACUUUUACUUACAUUAAAAUAUACAAGUCACACAUACAUAGUCUACCAUCCAUUUAGGAUUAAGGUGUGUCACACUAUGCACGUCACAAGUGAAUAAAUUCACAAACGGAUUUAAGAUCCAUUUUUCUUGGGCCCUGUCUGAUCUACUAUUAGUCAAAUUAAUCACAUCCAUGUCUCUAUGUUUUGAGAGUCAUUUGCUCCAAUGCUCAAGAAAAAAACAUCUCCCCAAUUGUAUUUGAUAGAUGAUAUAUUAGUCUUUUAAUCAAUUUGUUCAUUUUUUAUUAGACUAAGGACUUGUUUAGAUUAAUCUACUAAUGCAAGUUAUCUUUUCAUAUUCAGAUCUGACCAUGUACUAUUGCUUAAUAUUAGUUAAAUUUUAGAUGGUUAGUGAGUCAAUAUUUGUUUCCAUUUUGCUUUGUGUAUAAAAAUAUUGAGAACAAUAUACAAAAGACAUUAAUGUAACUAACGAAUAUUAUUAUUAAACCAUUUUGUUUAAAAAAUACAAGUAUAUAAAACGAAUAUACUACACUUAGAGCACUAGAUACAACAAGGCAUACUCCCUUUAGGAAGCCUAGUGUGUUGCUCACCCCUAUACUGAUGGUCUCAUUUGUGCCUUUCAUGUAUUGGCUAAAAUUAUAUAUGUUAUCUUGUCUUAAAACAAGCUCAUAUAUUUUAUCUAACCCAAUAACUAGUAUUCUGUGCCCAAAAUAUCAUUUAAAUUAAUUCAAAUAGAAUUGAUUAAUUUUUCCAAAUAAAUUAUUUUCUCAACCAAAUUUUAAUUUCGUUAAAGUCAUAACCACUUUAUCGUACUAGAAUUUAUGAGUAGAUAAAUUUAAUUGUUAUUAGUAGAUAAAUUUAAUUGUUCUAUAAAACUACGAUGACUAAUUACUUUUAAUUUUCACUUUGAAUUCAAUUAUUUAAUUACAAUCAAUUAAAUAAUUUAAAUAAUAAUUCAAAGAAAUUAAAUUAAAUUAAAUUUUAAUUCAUCUUUGGUCUCUUUCUCAAAAAUACAUUUAUCAUUAAAAUAUUUUAAAUUUUUUUUUGGAAGAACCACAUGUGUCCUUAUCCAUUUUUAUAGUCUAAAACUAAUAUGUUCAGGUGGUGAGUAAUAUUAAGAAAAAGUCCUCCCAACAAUAAUGACUUUAGGAUUUAAACUUAGUCUAAAUUCCUUAAGAAAAAGUUCAUUUAUACUUUUUCCAACCACUUGUAGAGUAAACUUUUCUACUACAGGAUUAAUCACUAUUUGAGGCCUAAACUUGGCAACAGCUCCCACAUUGGGUCUAAACUUUCUUUUUGUCCAAAUUAGACCUUGAAUUUGGUAAUUAUUCUCGUAUUGGGGCCUGAAUUAAGCAAUUUUUCCCACACUAAGGCUUGAAAUUUUUUGUCCAAGUUAGUCCUUAAACUUGACAAUUGUUCCCACAUUGAGGCCUGAACUUGACAAUUGCUCCUAAAUUGGGGCCUAAACUUGGAAAUAUUAAGGGCUAACUUGGACCAAAAAAAGUUCAGGCUCUGAUAAAGGAACAAUUGCCAAGUCUAGGGACUAAGAUGGAUAAAAAAAAGUCCAUGCCUCAAUGUAAUACUUGUUGGAUUUAGUGCUCAUGCAGUAUUUUCGUCUAAGUACACUUGUAAUUUUUUGAACAGAUUGGUUAAUAAAACUAUUCAUGAAUUACAUUAAUACUUUGUAUAUUGUCUUCAAAUGGUUUUUGCACACAAAGCAGAAUGGAAGCAAAUAUUGCUCAUUUGUUGUCUAAUUUUUAACUAAUACUAAGCGAUAUUAUGUGGUAAGAUCGUCAUACGAAAUGACAACUUUGUAUUAGAAGAUGAACCUAAACAUGUCAUUAGUUUAAUCAAAAAUGAGCAAAUCGAUUGAAAGACUAACAUGUCGUCUAUCAAGUCUAAUUUGGGAGAUGCCUUUCUUUGGGCAUCGGAGCAGAUGACUCCCAAAAGAUAGAGAUAUAGAUGUGACUGGCUAGACUAACAGUACAUCAAAAUGGACCCAAGUAGAAUAGAUCUUGAAUCUAUUUAUGGAUUUAUUUGCUAGUAGCAUUCAUAGUGUGGCAUGCCUAAAUCCUGAAUGGAUGGCGAACUAUGUAUGUAUGACUCGUACACUUUGAUGUGAGUAAAAUCCUGAGUUCGAAUAGAUAAGGAACCAGAAGCUAGUGCGUUAGGUGUACAACUUCUACAGUACGUAGCGUCAUUCACAACAGUGGAAUUCAUGGUCUAAGGCAUGGGUAAAUGAUAUCCUCUUAUUAGCAUUACAUGGUUGAUGAAAAGUAAACAUGACCAUGAGUCUUCCGUUUUUCUGAUAAAUGACUUAAUUACUAUUCGGUAGUAAUUGACUUUUCAUGAAGGAAGGUAUAAUGAUUACCAUGAGAUAAAAUAAGAUCAUAAUGGAGAAUGUAUAUUAUCCCGAAGAGAUCAAGGAUAUCGUAUGAGGGAAACAUACUUAUGACAAAGUCAUUGGACAAGCACUGAAUAAUUGCUUUCAUAAUGGUGUGUUGUUAGGGAUAGCUUAGUCACAAUACUAUAUUAGAAUGGCUUCAUGAAUAAAUGAGUUUAUAAUUAAUAAGCGAAAAUUUGAAACUUGAUUACGAAUCAUUUAAACCUUAAUUACACAUGUCCAAUCGGUCCCUCCGAUAGCUCGUUGAAACCAGAAAUAUGAAUACGAAAUGAGAAAUGAGAAAUAUUCAGGAAUUAUUAUAAAUUUUUUUUGAAAUGAAAAAAUAAAAUCAUUUGGAAAUCAAUGUAGGUUUCCAAAAUGGUAAUGGAGAUGAUUCAUUUGCAAUUCUAUAUGGAUUAAUGAUCAAAAGAAUAAGUUUAUAUUUUUGAGUUAUUUUGAAUCCCGAAAAUGAAAAUAAACCAUUCGGUCACAAUGAAAAUGUUGACUUGGGAAAUAUUAAACAUAUUGUUUUGAAAUUUUAUCGGGGAUAAAAUCAUCAAAAUUUUAGUAAGGGUAAAAUAGGAUGAGAAAUUAUUUUAAUAUAAAAUAUUAAAGUUUAUUUUAAGAAUUAGAAAAAAAUAAAUCGGGUUGGAUUACAUUACAGAAAAUUGAGUCAAAAGCUCAGGAAGUACUCAUAAUUAGACCCGAUGUGAGAGAGGCCCCAAACCCCUCAUAUAAUACUGUCCACCCCACUCCUACUUUAAGUAGGAAGUUGUUUUUCUAUUUGAAAUAGACCACUACAACUCAAUAAGGGUUCUACCUUCUCUUCUUAUAAAUAGAUGGCACCGGUAGAGCAUUAUAUACAACUUUAAGAGCUUAUUACUCUGCCAAAAAAUAAAGAGAAUUUAUUCUCAACUAUCAAAUAUAUUUUUCCAGAAUAACAACUCUACUGAUUUCUAUUAAGAAGAGAGAAUUACGUUUUCACCUCAAAUAAAAGAGAGAACUUUUUCUAGUUCUGUGUUUCAAUUCAAUUGGUUUGAGCCCACACUCGAAGUAAUUUGAGGUAUGAAAAUAGAAAAAAAGAUCGUUUGGUUGAAAGUUAGGACCAACGAACGUCUUCUAAGCCAAAAACACAAGUAUGAAUUCGAUUAUGGUUUAUUUCUAUAAAUAUCACAAACCAGGUUGAGUUUCAAAAUUUAAUUUCUUGCAGUGCAAGAAAAUCAUUUUCAAACCGGGAUUUUUCCAAGAAUUGGUAUUAAGAGUUAGGUGACAUUCUUGUAAUUAUUCACAUGUUUAGGGAAAUAUAUGAGAAUGUAUGUGAUAUUAUAUAAUUGUUGUAUAAUUGUUUUUUUUUUGCUCAGGUUGUGGUUCUUAGGAAAUAGACCGUGGACUAUAAUCUCCACGUAGGAUUAUUUUUUUAUAUAGAAUUCUUAUGAGCCAGAAACAAACAUAGGACUUAAAUGUAAUUUUUCCUAAAAGAAUUCCAUAACAAGCAGAAGAUGGAGCAAUGACAAUUGAAGACACAAUGAAUGCCUUGUGGUGAAAAUUUAUGUAAUCUUUGAAUUUUCAUUUAUUUUCUAAAAAUAGAACAAUGAAAACCUUGGCUAACAAUUUUAUUUUAAUUACUCAUCUCCUUAUAUAUCUGUUUAGUGAUUGUUAAAGAUAUUAUUGUGAUAUAUAUGUACGAGAUGAUCCACAAUUGAUCGAUUAAAGAUAAGAAGUGUAGUAAUGAUAAAAGACAUGUGUUAUAUUGUUUCAUUCACUUCUUUAGGUUAUUUGAUUGUUGUGAGAAGUGUGGUGAUGAGAAUGUGCAUGUCUAGGAUUGGCUCUAUCAAAAAAAGGUUUGGUUUUUAAGUGGUCAAAUAUGACUUACCUCCCUUUCCCAGUACCCUACCUAGUGGAUGGUUCACAUUCACUGCUUCAAUUUUUUCCCUUAAAAGAAAAAUUGUAGAGAAUCAAAAUUAUUGAUUUUAUGAAUAAAUGAAUGUGAAUAUUAUAAAAUUGCCAGAGCAUGUCAUGUACAUAUGAGAUAAGUAUGUCAUAUACUUUAGGAAAGAAUGUCACAUGUACUUGUCAUGCAUAUAUUAAUCAUUCAUGAUUGAAACCAAAAAUUAAAAAUCUUGCAUGUUUUUAAAAUAUUAAGUGGGAGAAGGUCCCUAAACAAGACUUACGGCCUCCAUCAAUGGCCUUUUGUGCAACACUCCAAACCUGACCCUUAAGAAGGAUCUAGGAAUGUCAUGUUACUAACAUAAAAUCAAUAUAUUUAAAACGAUAUUUGACGUAAACCAACUUAAACUACAGUUUAAUUUAAUAUAGAAUGUAAACAGUUUGUCAUUCAAGGUUAGAUAAAAUGGUACACUUUAAGAACCAUGAAGACUUUACUGAAAUUUCAUGGAAAUCAUAGUUUCCUUAUAGUUUCAUGAACACAAGUUCAAAUACGAAAUUCAUUCUUCAAAAUGUAAGCGUCUUGACACCACCCUCAUGCCAUGCAUAGUACUCAAUACUAGAAGUCUCACGACAAAGAUUGUCCUUUGGUGUAUCCUUCAGAACUUUCUUUACUUCCUUAGCAGGCUUAAGAAGGAAAAGUAACUAAGUAAGUUCAAAGAACUUAGUGAGUUUUAGAAGUAGACAUUACAUCGGUUAUACAUCAUUCAAAUAAAACCUUUCCAACUCAACACAGAUACAUAGUUUGCCAGUUGGUGGGUACUAAUCACAGACACACAAUAUGCCAAAUAUUAUUUCUUUUGGUGUGUACAUCACGCCCAUGUGAUCAUACAAUUAACCAUUUUCAUGUUAGCCACGUACCCCUUUAUAUAGUCAAGCCAUAUAGUUCAUUCCAUUCAUAUUCCUUUUUCAUGAUUUACCAAUCUAGUUUGCAACAUAAUUUCUACCCUACCAGAGGCUACACGACCAUUUCCAUGUAUCGUGAUUUACCAGUUCAAUGCUUGUUCCACUAAAGGCAAUGCCAUGAAUUCAUUUCCAUUUUCCAAUCCAUAUUACCCUUGUCAAAAGAAAAUGGCAGUGGCUUAAACACAAAAAAAAGGUUCUCACACUUUUAACAUAGACAGACCAAACCAGACUAACAAUUACAAACAUCCUUCGCUCAUAUACAGAUAUUUCAUCUUUACAUAAUAUGAAUACUUACCUUAAAAAAAAAUAAACAAGGCAUUACACACACAUGGAAGUAAAAAGGAACUCACCAGAAAACACAACAAGUCUAAACAACAAGACCUUUGCCCUUACCAUGAGAACCUUCAGAAGUGUCUUGAGUUAUAAUAUAAAUAGUUAAACUUAUCAGAUUGUUAUACCAGAAAACUAAACAAGCUUGUAGGAAACAUCAUUUAAAAACCCAGGUUAGGAAGUUUUCAUCCUUACACACUAAACUGGCAUUAAAGGAUGUAGCUCUAAGGUCACAUAAAUAACCAGGAAAAUAACCUAAGGUUCAUUGAUAUUUACCAUGUGCUAAAACAACGAAGGAGUUUGCUGAGUACAACGAACUCAAAUCUUCAAGGAGGUUUCUAGUCUAAGGUUUUUAGAGAGAAAGUUCAGAGAAAAUUUUGAAAGGAAGAAUGGAUACAAAGAAAAAUGUAAAAGUUUCCCAGUAAGCCAUUACUAACUUUAAACAACUAAACACAGAAGAUAGGUUUAGUGGAUAAGUCAAGUUAUCCUACUAACCUCCUCGAUUCCCGUGAUUAAGAACUUUCUUUCUCAUCAUAAAUGUUAGUCUUAUCAACUACGAUAACUUAGUUCUAUUGUAACUUGUUCUCACCAGACCAACUAAAAUAUCCAACCAAAGUAAUAAAAUAAUAAAUAGUCCUUUCAAACUAAUGACUCAACCCAAAUGUCUAGCAAUUGGAGUGGUAUGUUCUCUAUGUAGGAGCUCGCCUAACCACCCAACUCGCCAGACAUAGACUUUACCCAUAAACACAAUCACAAACUUACAUACCUAGCUACAAUUAAUACCUUACUCAUAAUUUUCUCUACGUACCAUACUUCGAUAAAAAGAAACCAAACACUAAGACUUUUUCGGGUGGGAUGUUACAUCUUGUGAUGGCAUGGCAAGUGCACUAUCCUACGGUAGGAUUGCUAUGUCGAUUUAACUAAGGAGAUUUCCUAAAAGAAAGAAGAAUUCUCUUGUGAUCAAAUAAUAAUUGGACUGGCCCUUAUGGUAGGCAUUAUCAUGCGAUAGGUUAAGGAAUUCUAUCUUCAAAAGAGGACAACUAGUCAAAGCAUGCUACUCGGUGAGAUUGUUUCAUGAUGGCUCAUUUAUGGUGCAUGAAGUGAUAGAUGUUAAGUUGAUGGUUAUACACUCAAGGUAUUCUAGUUAAGUAACUCCCCACGGAACUCUACUUAAGUUAGAAUGAUGGUCAAAUGUUACACGAUUAUUAGUAUGUGUGAAUGCCUAAUGAAUUAGGUUCAUGUACUAAUUGGAUGGAAAUCCAUGUUCUUACUAGUUGAUCAUGAUCACUCCAUGGUGGAUUGAUUCAAUGGGUGUGAGAAUUAUCGUUGCAACGACUUACAAAGGUUUUUCUAGGUUUAAUGUAAUAUGCAUGCAUCAUUUUAAUGCAUAUCGUAAUGUUGCAAAAUUUUUCAAACAUUUACUUAUACAAAGAUAUUAAUAGAUGAAUAUUUUAUUUUUAGUUCGAAAAUGACACCUACUUCCUUAUUGAACAUACUCAUCGAAAACAAAUUGAACGAAAAUAACUAUAAGGAAUGGAAAAGGAACCUGAUAAUUGUUUAGAGUUGUAAGAAACUUAAAAUAGUUCUUGAUACUAAGUGUCCUCUGGCCACUCAAGCUGAGGUUAGAGAACGCUGAGAAAAUUUUGAUGAGAUAGCUCGUUGCAAUAUGCUGGAAAGCAUGACCAACAUUCUAUAUAAGUAGUUGGAGAGCUAUAAGGCUACUAAGGUGAUUCUAGAUAAUCUAGAAGACAUUUUCAGAGUCCAAGCUGCCUUGGAUUAAUAGUCUGCUGACCAUCUACACACGUACUAACGUCCAAAGUGUGACUACUACAAUAAAAUAGAGAGUUAUGAGGCAGUAUCCGCAAGUAUACAGGUCGAGUUGUAAUAUAGAUUUUACAACGAAGUAGGAUAGUACUCCGAGGAUUGUACCUAAGGGAGGCAAGUACUAAAUCAAUCUUAACUUGAAUAAUUAAAUAUCUAGUUAAUACUUUUAAAUCAAUUAUAGUAUGAAAGUAGAGUAAGAAGUAUUUUUAGGGUUUGUAAACUAAUAAAAUAAAAUAAUAUAAAGGAAUUAAAAUUGCAAGAGAUAGAAAUAAAUAAAGUGAAUCAAAUCUGAAGAUGGGUGAUCAGCUUAUUUGACAAUCCCAAUUAACUGACAUCUCGGGUUUCUUAUCAAUCAACUAGUCAUUACCCUAGUAGGAUCUUUCGAUCUUCCACUAAUAUAACGAGUCAGCAAUAACUACUUAUCUUCCAACCUCAUAGUCUAGACUGGCUUAGGGUAAAGGUGUUUACGAAUGGACAAUACUAAUUUUGGGUUAAUUCCCACCUUGAUAACUUCCCAGAGUUAUUAGGCCUACGGUUUGUUUCACGUUCUUCUUUUCCCAAACAAUUGAUCUGUGGAGUAACCCUACAAAAUAGUUAAGAGAUCAUGUCUCCACUUGCUAAUCCCCCAUAGAAGGAUUAGUUUCUCAUGGCUUUCAUAAACAUGGAAUGAAUGGAAGAAUUAACCAUAAGAAAUUAUUGAAAUAAAGAUUUUAAGAAAAUACUGAAUGAUAUUGAUAAAUAGUGCAAAUCCACAGAAGUUAAUCUCCUUUACAAUCAGUUCUCUUGAAAGAAAACAAAGAACAAAUAAACUAAAACUAUGAAAACCUAAGAAAGCAAGAAAACAAAACUAAACCUAAAGAAAGAAUCUAAGCUACUCGAAUAUGUCCAUAAUGUGUGCCACAGGAGCCUAUUUAUAGCCUUCAGGUAGCCGUCGUCCUUAACCCUAGGUUAGCUGACGUUCCCGAGCUUUAAGUUCAAUUGAGCAGACCAAAACGCCUCUACUUGGUGUUUUAUUCUCGUCAUAGAGUUGAUGUCGCGACACACCAGGACCUGUGCCAUGACAUAGUAGCCGAUCUACUCCUCUACAGCUGUUAUGUCACGAAACCCUCAGCCUGUGUCUCGAUAUUGAAGGCAGUUUCUCACUUUCUCUAUUUAGCUCUCUAUGUUGCGACAUUGAAUCUCUCAUGUUGGAACAUAACGUCUAAUAUUAACUCGAAAUGCCUUCUAAUGGUCUCCUUCACACUCACGAAGUGCAUUAGCUCUCCCUUAGAUCUCAUUCAGCCCUUAAGGUUAAUAAAAGACUCAAUAUGCACAUUUUAUUGGAUGUAAGUAGAACUAAAGAAACUUACUUAAAACAUAACGAAAAUGCUUGUAUUUAAGCUCCUUAAAUGUGAAAAUUAGUUUAAUCUACUCAUCAAAUGCUUAAGUCAUUGCUUGUCCUCAAGAAAUCUAAACAAAAUACAAAUAGUCGUUUAUGUGAAUGUUUAGUAUGCUGUCCAUUCAUGUAUAAGGAUACUAAGGUCAUAUAGGGCUUUUCGGCUUCUAAUGUUCUAAGGCUUAGGAAAGGUAUGAAAUUCAAAAAAAGUAAGCAUCAAAAGGUUACAAACGCGAAAAUAGUUUGGCACAUCAUAUUGAUCUGUAUUUUCCCCCUUAGUGACCCUUACCCACUCACUGCCUUAUUUCUCCUUUUCUUACCUUCCUUGUCUCUCCAUCUAUAGGAAGUCAUAGCAUGACAUAGUAACUAUGGCUAGCCUUACAAGUUUUUUGUGUAUUAAUGAACGAGUUUUUCUUUCUUUUGUGACUGUUCUAUUUUUCAAUACAUCUCACUCAUGAAUGAUUUUUUGCUAGUUUAAGACUUUUUCUACUCGUACCAAUUGUCUUUUUGGAGUUUUCUUUUUUGUUUUGCACAUUAGGCUAAUUUAUAGUUCCUAUAUCACACCAAUCUUUUCUAUUUCUCCCUAAUUUUACAAACUCCACAGUGAUGUAUCUAGUUAACCCUCAAUAUGUAUGGCCAAACGUCUAUAGUUGUGUAGUACAGGACCAGAGAAAAAUGGCAAAUACAAAUUAACAUUUUUAGGCUCGGGGUUUGUAAUGUGGUUCAUAAAAAAGUGUCAAAAGGCUCAAAAUUGGUAGUAAAGGUGAAGUAUAAAUAAGAUAGCUUUUUGGUUUUGGAUGUGUUCCAAACAAUUCCUUAGGUCAUCCCUAAAUAUCUCAUAAUGCACAAAUUUAGUCAAUUAAACAAACACAAAUUCAACCAUUUAUCAUUCAUACUAGCAUGCUCGUUUCCUUGUAUUUUCUAUAUAAUUGGUACAAAUGAUAGCUUAAUACCUAUUUAUAGUGCAACAUAUAGCACUUUAAUAGUCUAAUAAUAAAAAAUUUUAAAUCACCUAUCAUCAUGCCAAAUUUAUUCACAAACACAAUCAACCUAUGUACAUGCUCCUAACCAAUCACUUGUAUUUCUACAAACUCAAGCACACAAAAGACAAGAAAAACCAAAGAAAAUGUAAAAAUUUGAAGCAAAUUUUCUAUGUUACCCCCACACACUUUAGUUGACACAUUGUCCUUAAUGUGUAGCCCAAUAAUAGAUAAGGAAGAAAGUUACCCGAUUGAUUAUAGUCGCUCCAAUUGCUAAUGAUGGGUGCUUCCUCCUUUGAUCGUUUUAGCUUGAAUUGUUUGUGUCUCCUUCAUGUUGGGUUCCUACAUAGAAAAUUUAAAUAGAUUGUAACAUACUAAAAUUUACUUAUUAAUCCUACUCAUACAAAUUCUAAAUUAAAAUUAUCCCAAAAAUUAAUACAAAUCUUUAUAAAAUUAAAAAGAGUUCAAUCAUCUUCCUCAUUGCCCAUCUCCUCAUCCCCGUUAUCCUCCUCUUAUUAUCCUUCCUCUUCACGUCCCAACGCUUAUUCUUCUUUUUCCAUUCUCGUCGGACCGAACAUAUCUGAUGUAUAAUUGGGGACUUAAAUGUUAUUGUGCCUAGCAAACCCUUGAAAAAUUGGUCUCAAUUCUUGAAUCCACUAAAUCAUCAAAUCUAACUUUGGAUGACUAUUCUCACUAACGUCUUGUUGAGCUCGUGCCACCCUUUUUGAUGAAGUGGGUGUAGCUGUCAUUUUUUACUAUCUCUUGUUCCAGUCUUUUAUCUGUUUGGCCUGCAGCUCGAUGUAUUGUUGAAACAAAGUUCCCCGAUAAUGUUUCGGGAUGGUUUCAACGACUGCUCAGUGGAUAUCAUAGGUACGCCUGCCUUUUUACAUAAAGUCGUCACAAGAUGGGGAAAGAAUACUCCCACCUUCUGGCUACUAAUGCAUCUUCCCAUGUUCUAGUGGAUUUGUUUGCCAACACAUACCUAUUUUUUUCUGUAAAAUAGCAUAGAGAAAAACUGCUCUAAAGGCAUUAACAUUAGAAACAUUUAAAGCAGGUACAAUUUGUGUGCAGACAAAUUGAAUUCACAUAUUAGCUUCAGGAAACAUAAUAGCUUGAUGGAAAGAUACUGGGAUAUUGGUACUUGCGCGAUACUUCCAUUCACACCUUCCUUUAGUUAAAAAGUUUAUAAUAUUAUCCAUAUCUAUGUCUCUAAAAUAUUCUAAGUCAGUUUCAUCAAUAAAAUCAUUCUCAAAAAAACCACAUAAGGAAAAACCACAUUGAUACAAAGUACCAUAAGGGAGACGGUAGUGUUUGGCAGAACAGUGGAUGUAAUCAAAGAUCACAUAUGAGGACAAACCAUAAGGAUUUGUUUUGCCAAGACUCUACUAGCUAGAGAGCUCUUUGGGAAACAUAUUAAGGGGCACAAGAAUGCGAAACAUGACUUAUCUACUUUACUAGGAAAAGUGAGAGACUGUUGGAUCUGGUACACUAAGUGUAGUAUUUUAAUCUAAUUACACUUGUAAGUUUUUGAACAGAUUGAUUAAUAAAACUAUUCAUGAAUUACAUUAAUAUUUUGUAUAUUGUUCUCAAAUGGUUUUUGCACGCAAAGAAAAUUGAAAGCAAAUGUUGCUCAUUGGUUAUCUAAUGUUUAACUAAUACUAAGCAAUAUUAUGUGGUCAGAUCAUAAUACGAAAAGAGAAGAUGUAUUGUCAUCUAAUUGAAAAUGAGAAAAUCGAUUGAAAGACUAAUAUGUCAUCUAUCAAGUCCAAUUGAGAAGAUGUAUUGUCUUAGGCAUUGGAGUGGAUGACUCCCAAAAGAUAGAGAUAUAGAUAUGAUUGACUGGACUGCUAGUACAUCGAGCUGGACCUAAGUAAAUAGAUUCUGAAUCUGUUUAUAGAUUUAUUCACUUGUGGCGUUCAUAGUGUGGCAUACCUAAAUCUUGAGUGGAUGGUGGACUAUCUAUGCGUGACUCAUAUACUUUGAUGUAAGUAAAAUCUUGAGUUUGAAUAGAUAAGGAACUGAAAGCUGGUGCGUUGGGUGUACAACUUCUGCAGUACGUAGCUAUUGGAAAAACGAGCAGCAAAAAAUAAAUUUAGGGAACACUAGAGUUUUAAAAUUUUUCCAAAACAAGACCUUAGUUGUGAUAUCUAAAGUAAUAAAUAGUUAAUCAAAAUCGUACAUUUUCAAGUCAUCUAGGAUGAGUGCUUAGACCAAGUAGUCUUCUCCACUAUCCUCAAGCUCACAUCUGUUGAGUGUAGGCUCGCUUCGAAUCAGAAAAUUUUUCAUAAAUAUUAUUAGUGGGUUAAUUUUGCAAUUUCACUAAACUUUUGGGUUAAGUUGUAAAUAAAAAAUAUCUCUAGAAAUUUUCUUGAAUAAUCUCUUCAGAUAAUUUUCUCUUAAAUUCAAGUGUAUGUAAAUAAUUACCCAAAGCUCUCUUUAUAUAAGGAGAGUUUAAAGAGUUCAACUAUAAUUAAACUUAACUAUUUUAAUAUUAAAUUUUAUCUAAUAUUUAUCUUAAUAUUAGAUUAAAUUUAAUAUUAAAUCUUAUUAAAAUAAUAGAAUGUUUGCAGAUAAACAUUAAAUUAAAUUUAAUAUUAAGAUAAUCACUUUAAUUUUAAAUUAAUAAAAUACUAUUAAGAUAAGUAUUAAAUUAAAUUUAAUAUUAAACUAUUAAAAUAAUAUUAUUUUUGGAACACUUAAUCUGAAAUCAAAUUCUCUAGUAGAGUCCCAGUAGGAGUGUAAUUCUUUCACCGCUCAACCACCGAUGACCAACCGCCGCUAGCCACUAGGACGCCGCCGUCGUAACUGCCGGCACUGCCGUGUCCGGUGAUGCAGGUGUGUCACUCUUACGACACUUCAAGCCGAUUUAGCUGUUACCAAUUUGGUCUGGGUCAAUGAUAACCCAACUGUUUCGGUCUAUCCACUAGUUGGACAUUUGGCCCGAUUUCACAUACCAGGCCCGAUUCGACCAGUUUUUGGGUCUUGAUCUAGAUUUUGGGCUCCCAGGCCCAAUUUACGAUCUUAGGUCCAAUUUUCAAGUUUAAUUAUCAAUUGGGCCAAUUGUCUGACUUAAAAAUUAAAUACAAAAAAUAUCAUAUUAAUUUUAAUUGAUUUGAUUAAUUUAAUUUUACUUGAUCAAAAUUAAUUUUCCCAAAAGUCACUUAGAGUUUCUAAAUUAAUUUUUCAAGAAAAUCCUUUAAUCAAAUUCUCUAGUUGAACAAUUUUCACGACCACCUAAUUUAAUUCCACAUCGAAUAAAUCAACUUAAUUAAAUUAUUCCUAAAGUCAUAGAAUUUUCUUCUGAUUCAAAUGCAAUUCGAUCGAGCUUUUGUUGAGCUAGCAGAUGGACCAAUCGAGCAUAUACAAUUAGACUCUAGUGAUUGCAAUUAUGUUCAGAAGAAUUGUUUCGAUAAUUCGCAAUUACUUAAUUAUGGAGUCAAUUCAUAAGAAGUACCAUGAUUGAAAACUCCUUAUUGUAUACUCUUCAUGAAAGCAAUUCAUCCAACUGCUUUGUCCAAUGACCUUGUCAUGUGUGUGUUACCCUCAUAUGAUAUCCUUGAUUCCUUUGAGUUGAAUCCGUUCACUUAGUACAAUAUUAUUUUAUUUCAUUUUCACCAUUGUGUCUUCUUAAUGAUUAAUAUGAUCACUGUCAACAAAUGACUGUGAUAAAUUGCUUGUUUGAGAACAAGCAACCCGUGGCCACGUUCUAUAUAUCAAUCCACACAAUGCCAAUGAAAGGAUAUCAUUAACUCUUUAAUUGAGUUAUGAAUUCCACUGUUGCUAGUAAAGACAUGCCAUACACAAGUCAUGUACCCAACAUACCAACUAUGAGCUCGAUCAUCUUUAGAGCAUAAGUCUCCACUUAUAUCAAAGCACAUGAGUUGUAUACGCAUGGUCAGUGACUAACUCAAGAUUUAUGUAAAUAACACCAUGAACAUCACAAAUGAAUUAAUUCACAAACAAAUUCAUAAUUAAUUCAUCUUGGGUUCAGUCUAUUGUAUCAUUCUACCAAUGAAUACAUCUAUGUCUCUACUCGUGGAUUCAACUGCUCCAAUAGCCAAGACUAACCAUCUCCCCAAUUGGAAUUGUAGACGACAUAAUAAUCAUUCUCAGUAUUUUAAUCAAAUGCUCACUUUGAUUCUUUUACGGGAUUAUGGACUCAUUUAGAUUAUCUACUGAAGUAAGUUGUCUUUCUCGCAAUGUAAAUGUUCUUUACAAUGCCACUUAUCUUCAAUUUGAACUUUAGAUAAUUAAUGAGCUAAUAUUUUCUUAUCACAACUUCGCUAUGCAUGCAAAAUAUAAAACACAGAAAAUAAAAAAAAUAUAAUAGUGAAAUGUGAAAUUAACAUUAUUUAUUUAUCGUUCAAAUAAAUAGAAACAAUUAUAUGUUUACUACAAUAUGGACACAUUUCCCAAUAGUAACGUCAUUCAAUACAGUGGAAUUCAUAUCUUGAGACAUGGGUAAAUGAUAUCCUCUUAUUGAUAUUACAUGGUUGAUGAAAAGUAAACAUAACCAUUAGUCUUUCGUCUUUGUGAUAAAUGACUAAAUUACUAUUCAAUAGUAAUUGACUUUUUAUGAAGGAAUAUGUAAUGAUUACCAUGAAUAAAAUAGGAUCAUAUUAGGAGAAUGGAUAUUAUCCCAAAGAGAUCAAGGAUAUCAUAUGAGGAUAACACACUUAUGAAAAUUUCAUUGGACAAGCACUAGGUAGUUGCUUUCGUAAUGAUAUGUUGUUAAAGAAUCUCAAUCACGAUACUAUAGUGGAAUGAUUUCAUGACUAAAUGAUUUUAUAAUUAAUAGGUGAAAAGCUAGAACUUAAUUAUAAAUCAUUUGAGCCCUAAUUACAUAUGUCCAAUCGGUCUCUCCGCUAGCUAGUUGAAACUAGAAAUGAAUUGUGUGUUUGAAUAGAAAUGAACAACAUGAAUAGGAAAAGAGAAAUAGGAAACAUUCAGGAACGAUUAUGGUUUUUUUUAAAUGGAAAAAUGGAAUCAUUUAGAAAUGAAUGUAGGUUUGCAAAAUGGAAAUGAUUCAUUUGCAAUUCUAUAUGGAUUACUUAAAAAUGAUCGAAAGAAUGAGUUUAUGUUUCUGAGCUGUUUUAAAGCCUAGAAAUGAAAAUAAACAAUUUGGGCACAAUGAACAUGUUGAGUUGUGAAAUAUUAAACAUAUUUUCUCGAAUUUUACUAAGGUAAAAUCGUCAAAAUUUUACUAGAGGUAAAAUAAGGAUGAGAAAUUUGUUUAAUAUAAAAUAUUAAAGUUUAUUUUAGGAAAUAGAAAAUUGAAUCUGGUUGGAUCACAUUACAGAGUACUAGAUCAAAAACCCAAGAAGUACUUGUAAUUGGACCCGAUGUGAGAGAGGCCCAAAACCCCUCAUAUAACAUAGGGGGUGGCAACCCUAAUAGGAAUACUACAGUGUGCCAUCCACCACGCUCCAACUCUAAGUAGGAAGUUACUUUUUUAUUUGAAGUAGACUACUACAACUCAACAAGGGUUCUACCUUUUUUUUUUCUUUUAAGUAGAUGGUACCGGUUGAGCAUUAUAUAUAACUUUAAGAGAUUGCUACUCGGCCGAAAAAUAAAAAGAAUUUAUUCUCAACUAUCAAAUAUAUUUUUCUAGAAUAAUAAUUCGAUCGGUUUCUAUUAAGAAGAGAGAAUUUUUGUUUUCACCCCAAAUAAAAUAGAGAAAACUUUAUCUAGUUUUAUGUUUCGAUUCAUCUGGUUUGAGCCCACACUCGAAGCAAUUCAUGGUACAAGAAUAGCGAAUAUGAUCGUUUGGUUGAAAGUCGAGAACAACGAACGUCCGCUAAGCCAAAAACACAAGUAUGAAUUUGGUUGGGGUUUAUUGCAAUAAAUAUCACAAAUCGAGUCAAUUUUCAAAAUUUUAAUUUUCCGCCGAGAAAACCGUUUUCAAAUCAGGAUUUUUCCAACAAUAAUAACUGUCAAGUUUAAGGACGAAAAUGUUCAUGCCCCAAUGUAAUAAUAACUGUCAAGUUUAAGGACUAACUUAGACAUAGAAAAAAUCCAAACCCUAAUAUAAGAAUAGAUUAAUUCUUUCGGGAUUUAUUAUUAUUCUUUUCAAUAAUGUUGUUUUCAAAGUUCGAACCUAUAUUUUUUUUUGAAAAUAUGACAUACCUUAUCGCUUCACCUAACACUAAAAAAAAUCUAAUUUUAGCAUUUAAAUAAUAUUCGAAGUUUGUGCAAUGCAACUAUCUAUAGUUUACUUGAACUUCUUAAUAAUAAUAAUAAUAAUAAUAAUAAUAAUAAUAAUAAUAAUAGAUAAGCAAGAAUGAUUUGAAUAUUACUUGAACUUACAUAGAAAACUUACAUAGAAAAGAAGAUUACUUGAACAACAAUGAAGAUUACUUGAACUUACAUAGUCGUUGAAUCAAUUUGCUUAAUUUUGAUUCUUCAAAUUAUGGACCAUUUAGAUUACCUAUUAAUAUAAGUUGUCUUCUUGCAUCACGAUUCAGUCACAUGAUGUAAAUUAAUAUUAGUUAAAUGUUAGGUAACCAAUGAGCCAAUAUUUACUUAUACAUUUUGCUUUUCAUGAAUAAACCAUUGAGGACAAAUAUACAAAAUAUAAUAACUUUAAUUAUGGAAUUUUAGUAACCAAUCUGUUCAAAAAAAAAAAUACAAGUAUUAAUAACGAACAACUACACUAAGAGCACUAGAUCCCAACACCAUAUCUGAAGAUAGCCUAAUCCUAACCUUUCGAAUCAGCUCAUUUGUUACCUCUAAUUAAUAUAGAUUUUUAUUUGAAUUUAUCAUUAAAAUAUUUAAAAUGAUCUUUUGGAAUAACCACUUGUGUCCUUAUCCAUUUUUAUAGUCUCAAACUAAUAUGUUCAGGUGGGGAGUAAUAUUCAAACAAAGUCCUCUCACCAAUAAUGACUUUAGGAUCUAAACUAGGUCUAAAUUCCUUAAGAAAAAGUCCAUUUAUACUCUGUCCAACCACUUGUAGAUCAAACUUCUAUAUAAAAAGGUCAAUCACUAUUUGGGGCCUAAACUUGGGAAUAACUCCCACAUUGGGUUCUAAACUUUUUUUGUCCAAAUUAGUCCUUGUACUUGAUAAUUAUUCCCACACUGGGGCUUGAGCUCUUUUUGUCCAAGUUAGUCCUUAAACUUGACAAUUGUUCCCACAUUGAGGCCUGAACUUGACAAUUGCUCCCAAAUUGAGGCCUAAACUUGGAAAUAUCAAGGACUAGAACAAAAAAAAAAAAA
Molecule: long non-coding RNA, 47345 nt
Filed under: Gossypium raimondii (Peruvian cotton)
Lineage: Eukaryota; Viridiplantae; Streptophyta; Magnoliopsida; Malvales; Malvaceae
Description: long non-coding RNA (GRAI_LNC007734)
Source: RNAcentral